Molecule: long non-coding RNA, 60612 nt
Filed under: Fragaria vesca (wild strawberry)
Lineage: Eukaryota; Viridiplantae; Streptophyta; Magnoliopsida; Rosales; Rosaceae
Description: long non-coding RNA (FVES_LNC005436)
Source: RNAcentral
AGCCUCUGUAGAACAAAGUGGUGCAGAAAAAUAUUGUAGUGAGUCAAGGUUUCAAUUGAGAUGUGGAGGGAAACAUUAUUUUGCAGCAGCUUAUAUGUUGGGGUAUGAACGCAUGGGAUUGAUUACAGCAAGUUAAUACUGGUAGAGAUAUGCAGUAUGUAGCAGUGUUCAGUCCUUGCAGUAGUUUUUCAGAUUCUUCAUUGGAUUGUUUGUUGCCUUGCUUCCAUGGAUUUUGUCUUCUCAGCUCUGUGUUGCCUCAAUGCUCUGCUGCAACCUACAAUCUUGUCAACUGACUGUGGAUGAUGUUCUCAUACUGCCAAGUGGCUGUUGGGUUUUGAUUUUUGGGAUGAUAAUCUUGUAAAUUGUUCUACAUCAUGUAUUGUGCUUCUUGUUAUGUACUUGGUCCAACCAUUAUGCUUGUUACCAAGCAUAUGGUUGAGGGGGAUGUUAAGUAUAUAAGGAUAGUUGAGUCAUUUACUAUUAUCCCUACCGAUAUAAAGCUAUGAGUUGUGUACACUGUUCAUCAAUUGAGAAAUACAAGAUGUAGACGUUUACUCUCUCCUGUGUUUUCUUUACUUUUCUGCUUAGCAUUUUCAAUUCAAUAAUUCCAUGAAUCCUAUCAGUCGAAAGGGUUGAUAGAAGAGGAAAAGUUGAGCUUGGCUACUGUGAUUACGAAUCCGGAGGAGUAUUUCUUAAGUAGAUUUGUCACCAGAUAUGUCGACCAAGUACCUCAGUUGUCGAAUAUAUACCAAGGAAAAAUGGAUGUGCAGGAUGUAUGAUCUUGGUCACACAGUUUCUAGGCUGAUAGUGUUGAAUAUCUGAAGUUUCUAUUGGAAGAAAUUAAAUGUUGCAUUGAUCACUAUUUUUCAUUACUAUAACGAGAUCAUUUCUAACCAGUGUCUCUGUUCUGGAAGUAUAAUAUAAUCCCUUCGAGUGGUUGCUGUUGACGAGUAUCUGAGAAGGAGCAACAAGUUAGCUUGUUAUUAAUCGUUUUCUAAUAACAACUUAUUCCGCAGCAUAUAACCAAUCUUCUAUCUUCCUUCUUGAGCUUCAGGCAUUUUCCCUAGUUUAAAUGGUUGAUUGACUUUGAUCGAGUUCUCCAGCUACCCUAAUCAUAUUUUCUGCUUUAGAGUAUUCCAAUACUCCCUAGCAUCAAACAUGAUCUAACUUCAUAAUCUAUAUCCAGAUUUAGAGAACUCCAAUGAUCAUAUUAGCUUUCCUAUAACAUGGUGUUGUAACUGUUGCUGAACCAUGGCCAGAGAUGCAGGUGUGACUGAGUAGCUUCAUCUUAUGUGUAUGUACAGCUUGGAUACAGAUUACAGAAUCAUCCCAAGGUUUUCGGUUGUUAGAGUUUUGAUGUUGAAAGGAUUGAUUAAAGAGGAAAGGUUGAGUUUCACUACUGUUUUUGCGACUCCAGAGAAGUACUUCUUGAAUAGUUCUUUCCAGAUUUCUGGACACAGUACCCCGACUUUCGAUAAGUACCAAGGAAAAGCGCAUAUAUGCACUUCAGCCCAGUUUGUGAGGUUAGUUUGUAACGCACUUGUAGGCUUGAUAGUUUUGAAUAUGGCUUGUCAACAGAUAGCAUUGGAAGCAGCAUUCUCAGUAAUGACUAUAAAGAGAUUUCUAAAUUAUCGUCUCUGCCUUACAUUCAGUUUGUUUGUUACUAGAAAAUAUAUUACUUAUGAUCAUGUCCUCAGUCUGAAGUCUGCACUUAGAAAGGAGGUUUCUAAUUUAUCAUGUCCUGUUAGAUUAUUGAUUGGUAGCAAUUAGGUGAACGGGUUCUGUGCCAUUGCUGCCCUCAGUAAUGUCCCUAGACUACUCAUUGGUUUUAAGGUCUCUCGAAUCUGUGAAAAGCUCUAACGAAAGUCGUCAGCUGCAUCUGUAUUUGCCAACUGUGGGCACGCUGCAAGGCAUGUCUGUUCUCUACUAGUCAAGAGGGGAUCCAUGUUAAGCUGAUAGCUUUAGGUAUCGAAACAGCUAGGAUAAGAUUCUGCAACAUGAAUUUCUAUCAAUUAACGAACACCUUCUUAUUAAGUUGUGGAUUAGGAGAUAAUGGCUAACCCAACUCAAUGAAAAGCGUUGGUUCCAUUUCAACAUUAAUAUGUUCGUUCUGAAAAGUUCAACUGGGAUUCGAUCCACUCGAUGUUUGCUGUGACUUUUGGUCUAGAUUGUCAUACUAAAAUCUGGAGUUCAGUUAUUCACUCGUUUUCCUUACUGUCAUGGCAAUAGAGAAAAGUUCAACUUUCUUGUAGCUGUUGAUAACUAGUAGUGAGGAUCUGUGAUCUUUGCUAUGUUGUAGGCUGAUAGUGCCAAUUCCAGAGGCACCACCAUUUGAUGCUUGGACUUUGGAGUAGAAAAAACAGGUUUCUGUAUGAUUUUCAUGAGUAGGUAUAAUCACUGUCUCAGUUUGUACUUAGCAAAGAGGUUUCUAAAUUUUCAUGUCCUGUCACUUCAAAUUUAUCCUCAAGAAUCAGAUGCUCAUUUCUUGUAGUUUCGAACUGUAAAUAUGUCUGUUUCGCAACAAGACUGGCUAUAAUAUGUAAACAACAGUCUAAUAAUAUGUAAUCACACAUGUUCGGGAAUAUACGCAGAAUCACCAUCAGAUGAAAAGACUAAUUAAAUUUCUAGGAUGAUGGGGUUAGGAAAAAAUUUGGCUUCUCUACUUGGAUUUAUGUUGUUUGGAUUUGCUUGGAUGACUUCUAACCAUUGGAUCAAGUACAAUCUAAGACGAACAUGUCAUCCUUACUUCAUCUAAUAGUUAUAAGACAUCCAAGCAAAUCCAAACAACUUAAAUCUAAACGGAGAAUCCGGAUCCGUUGGGAAAACAUGACAUAUUUUACUUUGGCCUCACUCUGGCUCACUUUUCAUCGGCAUCGUUAGGCAAACUUGCUAAUUGCUAUGGCUUGGGUACCAACAGCCUCACCUCACUUGUCACGGCCGCGUGGGCAGUUACUAUUAGUCUCACCUCAUUUGUAUGGGCAAGGGUGGUGGGCAUUGUUAGCCUCACUUAGAAGUUGCUCUGAUAACUUGGCGUCAGCAGUGUUAGCAUCACUUGUAUUGAGCCUCACUUGCAUGAGCCUGAGCACCGGUAGAGUCUAGCUUAGAUAAAACCUGCGGCAAAUUUCAGUUUCUUGACUUCAGAAAGCAAGGACAAGCACAUGCCAACUGAGGGAAAAAUCAAGCUGCACCAAGUGUGGGUAAGUUCAGCCAUACACCAAGUUAUGCGAAGCAAGAUCAAGUAAAGACCAAGUAUGGGUAACGUUUGGUUGGUGUUCGAAACGCACAAAAUCAAGCGAACACAGUACGAGAGCACUGCCUAUUGAACACCAGUGCAGGAGCUUAGUCUCAACAGGCCGAAGGUCGAAAAACAUAAUGAUGGAAGGGGGGAGGAGGAAGCAACAAAUUGAAGUGUGAUAUAGGGCUUAAUAUCAAUGGAUUAUGACAGCCAGGCCAUUCUACCACUCAUUAUCCCAUUGCUCAUUGAAGUCGUCUGCAAAGGUUUUUUUUCCCACAACUUGGGUAUUUCAGAGCAUCUCUCACAACCUGUGCACCUCUGGACUUGGCCAUAAUUAGGCGCUAACUGUGGGUCGGUAAUCAAAACCUUUCCGGCUUUCCUGAUUAGAGCAUAUAAAGACCAAGAGUUGGUUACUACUCUAGGCGUGUUCUUCCGUUUAGGUUGAAUCACCCGCACCAUCUGUCAUCUGCUUGAAACGAAGACGAGGGCAAACCGACAAAGAGGGAAAGAUGAAGGCUCAGAAAUUUAAGUGGCCGUGGAGUAGAAGAUAAAUAUUUUCGACCAAGACCGAGAAGUGGAGAGAGCAAAAAAAAAAAAAAAAAAAAAAAACAGCCCUAGUCCUGUGUGUAACACCAAACCUAGACCUCUAAAUUCAAAUUCAUCAAAAGACAUUUUCAAACUUUGAUUUCAAAACUCAGGAACUGGCUAAACUAUAGUGAGUCUUAAUAAUCCUCAUAAGACAGGCCAAUUCAGGAAAUGAAGAGGUAACUUUAUUGAUAUGCUCCGCUAAUCAUCGGAGAUGAAUUUUAUUGAUACAUCCAAUGGCCAAUUGAAAUAAUUAAACUUUAUUAUCUAAACCUAUAUGAAUGUUAUUGCUAUGGGUUAAGUUUAAAGUAUAAAACUAUAUACCAACAUCAAAGAAAAUUUUGAACAAGAAUAUCACAUCAAAUUCAGUACUACCUAUAGCUGCACCUGCCCCAGUUGCUCAACCUGAAAGCAGAUCCAUGCUCAAGUCAGUAAAUUACCAAUGAAACUGCUAGAUCCUAAUUCAAACAUCUCAAGCACUUUGAAAGCUUAUACAUAACGGUGUAUUGCUAACAUGCAAAAUGAUGACAUUUUCGUGUGGAAGACUAAAGAUCAUAAAUAUUAAAGAGAAGGCCAGAGUGCCAAUUUGGCAGAAAUACCAAAUCGUAAAUUACAAAAAAUUUCAGCAUGGAUUGCCUACUUUCUACACAAGAUAUAGAAGAAACUUUGCAAAUAAAGCAUAUAGUCAUAUACUAUAUGCUCCUAAGGUUCAAUAACAAUCAAGUAUGGUCAUGAGCAUUAUCUGCAUUUUUCUUUUACUCCUUACACAGCACUGUCAUUGACAAUUAGUAGUUGGACUCCCACAACCUAAAUAUAUACAUGCUUUGUUUUUUCAUUUUUGUGCUUUUCCUUCAACAUUCAUGUUCUCCCAUCUAAGUAACCUAAAAUGGCUUUUCCCUUGGGAUGAACAGAAAUGAACAAAAGCCCACUGUUAGAAAAGCAACUAUUAUAUCUUGGGGAAAAGAGAGUAUUCACUUCUUGUAUCUGCAUCUCACACAAAAGUAAACUAGGUUUUUUUUUCUUUUCAAUUUUUUAUGAUAGGAAUUCUCUUAUUUGAGAGACACUGAUACAUAUUCAAUAGAAGAUCAACUGAUUGCUACGUUUAAACCAAGUUCAGAAGUCAAUGAACGAUCGCUGAAAAUUGUGAAAAUUUUACCUGUGAGAUCUGAAGGAAAGACCUAAAAAAUAUCCACCUCCCCUUCUCUUCACACAGAUGUCUUUUAUAUACAAAAGUUGCCACUGGCAAGAGAAAGUACCGAAUAAAAGUUAGAGAAGAAGGCAGACAGUAAAAACAAUAAAGCAAAUUUUCAUUGCUACGGCUACACAAACCUUUGAUGUAAGAAAAGCAGAACCCCAGCACUGGGAGUUUCAUGGAUAGCACUGACAAUAGUCUCAUUUACACAGUUUUCUGAUUCGAUCUCUAUUAAGGCAGCAAGGAGACAAAGUGAAGGAACAACCUGUUCAUGUUACAUUCUACCAAAAUCAAACUCAAGAGAUGUUUUUUGGAAAGUGAAAGGAAACAGAGAAAAGAAAAAAGAUUAGAGGGCGGGAAAUAAAGAAAAUCUAAUAGAAGGGCAGCAUACCUGCAACUUCCAAUUUUUUUAGCUCUCUUUACAUAGUGCCGAUAUGGCUCAUUCUGUAAAGUAAGAUCAGACAAUUCAUGCACAUACUGGAAGACUUGCAAUGCAGAUAACAGAUUGUUAAGAUAAGUUAACCAGCUGAAGAAGAAAGCCCCAAUUGAACAUGUGGUUCUCAUCAUUAUGUAGAACUAUUAUAUCUUCCAACACAUUCUUCAUAUCCACCUUUUGAAUGCUGCUCAGAAUCUUUUUCAGAAGAGCCUUAAAUAGUGAUGGUUCAAAGUCCUCGAAAUGACUAUUGGUUAUUGAGAUCCGAUGACCCACUUUGGAUCCAUACAGUGAUGGAAAACAGAUCUAGGAUCACAGAGAAUAAAUUGGGUAGAAGCUCCUCAGUAUAUAUGAACAGAAAAAUUUUGGUGACAACCAGAUCUCCCGGUACAAGUUCCAAGCUGUACAGCAGAAAUAUCCAGGUCAUCCCUUCACUGCAUGAGACCCAAGGACUCACCAAUAUGGUCUUCAUGUAUUAAUAUCAUCCCCACCACCAUCUGGACUCUUCUGACGGAUAUUGCUAAUGGCUUCCGUUGCAAGCCGUACCAAACGUAGUAAUCCCUCUACAUCCUGGAAGUUAAAGUCAAGAGCCCUUUUAAUGGAAGAGAUGCAUUCGGAAUACUUAGAUUCUCCCACAGCAGCUGCAAAAGCAAGAUGUGAUCUCUUUGAUGCGUCCAUUGCAUUAUGUACAUCUUGUGUCUGCAAUUCAUCAAUUUUGAGUAUAUAGUUUGUUCAGUCAUCAACCCAUAAAAACAUUGCUAGUGAGAACUGUGAGUGAGUAAGUGAGGAGGGGGGAAGGGGUUGGAGGCGUGUUACAAAAUGGAAGCAGUGCUCAGGUCCCAAAUAUAAGGAAUGACAGAUUAAAAGUUUCAAUAGAAGAUCAAUGAAAACUCACAAAUUUCAGCAUCCGGACAAAAUUGGGACGAUUUCGAGCAGCAAUGACAUGGUUUCCAGCAACUUGGGGUGAGCUGACUCCCUUAGGUAAGGGAACCUUGUCUGCGGUUGAGGGAUUGUUUAAGUUGUCAACAUCAGAGGCAGAGGAAGACGGAGAUUCACCUGAUAGAAAACCAACAGAGAAUGGCAAAUAAGUUAUUAGAAAAAAAAAUUGUUACAAGAGCUUUGCGCCUUCUUUAACACCAAAGCAGCAAAAAUAAAAUUUAAUUUACCAGGAGGAACCAUUUGUAAAGCUGUUUGCAACUCAUGUCGGUCUCUGCCUGCACUGGAAUGCGAGGAGUAGAUCACUUUCAAAUAAGCCACCUCCAAGCAUUUGAAGGCCAAAGCAGCAGAAGCCAUGUCUUUGGAUUUUUCAUAUUCAUGAGCACAAAACCUAUAGAUAUUUUAAGUUAGAAAGGAAAAGCAGGGGGCUACAAAAAGUGACAAAAGCUCCCGAAUCAAAAUAGAAUUAAAAUCCACAAAAAAAAAAGAAGAAAAAAACAGUUAAAGAAACAAAUCUACUACGAGAAUCCCUGCAGAAAGGGAUGGCAGACAACAGAUAGAUUUGCAUAGUAUGGUAUAACACCAUAUACCUUGUGCAAAGAAAGAUGAGUCAGCUUCACCAAGCAUGAAGUCACAAAAAAGCUCCCAAUUUUAUAUAAUUUUUUUCUAGUGAAGUUACCUACUCCCCAAGGCAAAAGCACCAACCCCUUGGCCAGUACACUCUUUCAUCUACCUCCCAAACGAAAAGACCCUCACAAUCACACUAGAGAAACACAAAAUACAGGCUCCAAUUACUCCUAAAGAUUUCUGUUAAGUACCCUCCCAUAUUAAUUUGGGAUCCAACACCACACCAGCAUUCCAUGAGUGGUAGCAGUGUCUCACAUGCAAGGUUGGAGGGAUAUUAAUUUGAGGAUAUGAAGAAGUACAGCAUGACUCAAUUCAGGAAUGUUAAAAAAAAUGACUGAAAGGAUAUGAAAAAUGACAGUCACAUAGAUCGGUGCAUGUCUAGAAGGGUUAAUACAGCUCAAGUUUGACUUACUGGCAUAGUGCUGCAGUGCUUCUAUAAAUUUGCAUGGAUUCAUUAUGCUUGGCACUCUCAGUGUUGGCAGAUUCUAAGAGAGAUGCAGCGUGAAGAAAUUUCAGGACCGCCUGGAAGUAAAGCCCCGUACUAUCAUUUUCCUCAUUGUUCUGCAAAGAUCAACAUUAAAUACAAUUUGUACAGAAAGGAGCAGCAACAUCUAGUCAUGAAAAUAUAAUAGGGUAAGACCUUGUAACGAUCAGCAAGGUGUUUCAUAUCUUUAGCUUCUUUCAGAAUACACAUAUAGGCCGGGGUGGAAGAAUCCCUUCUAGCUGGACUAGGGGCAUCAAGAUCCCUAGGUCUAUGCCCAUUCUGUGCACGAUGUCUUGAACUAAUAUGCUGAGUUCCAUUCUGAGUAUCAGCUUUUCUGUUCCGCAUUUGCACCUUGACUGAAUCAUUACCUUCAGAGCCAUCUACUUGUAAUAUAUCUGCUCCAUUACCUUUGUGAGAACCAGAGACUGGUCGGGGACAACGAGUCAUUUCUGGUUGAGCUCCUCCAGAGGGUGGCAAGGGCAGUGACUUUCCCCUUGUCGAACCUGCAUCUACUCGGUCACUUCUUCCAGAAGGAAUUCUCUUUGAAGACCUUUCACUAUCAGAUUCUGGCUGCUUCUUCGGAGUCGAAAUCGCGUCUCUUGGGUAAAUAGCAUCUAGUCUAACAUCUGGGCCAUCAUGCCCCCCAAAAUUAGACUGGUUCUCCCUUUUGCUACUCUCAUUCAAGGACUUCCCCAGCAAAUCUUUUUUACUAACAUAUUUGUUCUCAGUUUCACCAUAUUUGUUCACCUUCUCCGGCAAUUUGUUUUUAACAUCUCUAGGUUUCAUUCCAAGUGAUGGUGAAUGGUCAUGCUGUUCAUUGACAACAUUAGAAUUCCUGGCCUUCCCCAUGUCCAAAUCAGAUUCGUAGCUCUGCUUGUCCUUUGACCGUGAAGAGUGGCUCUUUCCUGAAUUUCUUGGGCGAGACCCCAGAGCGUUAUAAUGGCUGCCAUUCCCUCUGUCUUCACCAGCAAAUUGACUUGGAACUAGUGGUUUAAUAGGAGAACGACUAUCUGGUCCUGAAUUAUCCAAAGCACCAUUCACAGGAAAAUUAUUCGUAAUAUCCGGAGAUGCUACAAUCUGUCCCCUAGCUUUACCACCAGAUAUGCGACUACGAUCUCUGUCCUGAACAUCAAGUACUGAAGGUUCAGACCUAUGAUAAGCCCCGGAGGGAACUUUAUCCUUUCUCGCUGUCCCAGAUCGAUCAAUCCUGCUGUCAUCUUCACCAUCUGAGCAUCGUUGUGGGCUACCUAACGACAAACGACCAGCAUCUUGUGACUCGUCCUUUGGCCUGAGGUCUCUAGGUACUAAUUCAUGCUUAUCAGGGUGUAAGAUUCUCAUAGGUGAUGAUGAAACCGAUUCUACAGGCGAACCUUUAAUUUCUUGAAAGCUGGAUUUGGUCUUUUGGGAGCCAGAAACUUUGGAAGAGCUUGAAGUGGCAGCCACAGAAACCUGAACAGAUCCCGAAUCCUUCUUCAAAGAAUCCAUACCAUUCUGACUCCGCUGAAUUCUAAUGCUUGUAUUCUUCGCAGAUUGUUGCUUCUUUAUAUGGCUACUCUUUUUGUCUGUUCUACCACUGCCUUUGCUUGCACUGGACUCUUUUGCCUCAGAUUUAGAUACUCUUGCCUUCUUUUCCUUCCUACAGUCAUUCUCACUAAACUCUUCCUUCACUGCAACGGAACGGUCUGGAAGGGAACCCUCAUGAAUUUCAGGAUAUUCCCUCAGUUUUCUCUUUUUCGGUCUAUCUCUGAUAACAUUACCCAUGCAAACUUCAUCUUUCACUUUGGUAAGAGUAGCAGCCCCUAGCCUGUCCUUAAGUCGAUCUUUUCCUGCUUCAGUAGUCAGAAAACCACUACUUGAGCUAGGACCAACCUCGCCAUCAGGUCCGUGGUGAUCUGAUGCCCAUUCUUCAUCAGUCAUACGCCUACCUUCGCUCUUGAUUUUCUUUGGAGCUCUAGAAGUAUCUGGAUCAAAGUCCCUUCUGUUCUUAAUCUUUAAAUUGUUGAUAUGACCUGUAAUGGAUGUUAUCAAAGAGUAUGUAAGAUUAAGCAUUAUCAGCAAAAUUUCAAAAGCACUAACAAAUUCAUGUAGUAAAUAAAUUACCUCCAUCAUAAGAGGAACCUAAAACUGUUUGCUUAUCUUUGUGCUUAUGCUUCCGUUUCUCCACUGCCAAGCCACUGGAAUUGCUUAACUGCUGAAAAUUGGGCUCGUUCAGAGGUGAAGAUUGGUUAACAUCAUUCAAGCUUUUACUCUUCAGUGAUGCCUGUAUGUUCUUCAUAGAGCCUGGCAGCAGGACAGAACCAUCUUUAUCACUUGCCUUUGACACUUCUUUCAAUCCAUUUUUUUUCAUCCCACCACCAGGGAUGGCAUGCACACCAAAAUUUUGGGGGUUUUGAUCAGGGUGCCGAAAAUUAGCCAGUGCCACACCUUCCAUAGAGCCACCAGGAUUAUUGAGAAGAUUAGUUUGACUCCCAGGUGCAGGAACAUGGUAUUGUGCAAUUAAGGCUUUUGUCUUCUCUGUUGUUUCCUCCUCCGUUACACUACACCGGUUCAUCCCAGGCCUGCAUUUGAAUCAAGAGAUCAGCUUCACAACGAGACAAAGAGAAAGAAAAACUGAAACUACUAGGCACUGAUAUGUAUAACUAACAUACAUCAAUGUACCCGUCUAGGGUAUGAUUGAUUACUGUGUAAUAGAAUGAAUGUAUGAUAAAUAGUGAAGGACUAGAAAGGAACUUACAGCCAAUUGAGCAUGCUACAUAGCCACUUCUCUGGUAGGUUGUCGGGAGUGGUACCAUGUGGAAGAAGCCGCCAUUUUAGACACUUGUCACACUGCACCCAAUAGUCUUCCAUUAAUGCAGGAGCCCCUGUUGCAGGAGCUGCAUCAGAAAUGGGUCCAUUUCCUGGGCGUUGAGCUAUAUUUGAAGCUGUAACAGGAUGUGAAUCAAUUGUCUUGCUAUUUGGUUUCUCUCUUGAUGAGACAUUAACUGCAUAUGCGCUUUUUGCAACAGCAUCAGACUCCUUAAGCUUAACUUCAGAAGGCAAUUGCAAUGAAUCAAUUAGGUUCUCUUCUUCUUCAUCCCCAAAGAAAUCUCUAUAGGUAUCCCUGCUUUUAUCAGGGCCCUUUCUCAAGCUUUCUGACUCACCAUUGGAUGUAAGCUUGUUUACAUGCGUACUCUUUCCUUUGGGCAUUGAAGAAGAACCGGCCCUGGAGCUUUCUUUUGGAAAGUCUGUAACUAGAGUCCUUGGAAUUUCUUUUGAUUUCCUUUUUUCGCCAGGUAAAAGCUGCUCCUUCCCAGAAAGAAAUCUCAUAUCAUCUACCUCAUGGGCUAAACCCUUCUGACUGCCCCUUUGCUUUGACUGGUCCAUCAUUUCAGUACUUAGAGAUUUCCUCCCUUUAGAAACAUUUGAGUCUGCUUUUGCUGAUUCAUUACUUUUCUCUUUGCGAUGGCCAUUUUUCUUUGGAGGUCUCGAAACAAUAUUGCUAGAACUUACUUUUCUAUCUUCAUGAACCUUUCCAUCCAAACUGGCUUUUCGCUUUUCAACCCAGUUUUGCUCUUGGUUGGAUGUUGGCUCCAUAGGCUCAUCUUCUGCUUGACAAGGGAAGCCUUUAUCCCUUACAACAUUCUUAUCUGCUUCUUUACUCUUUGUCACAUCAUUGACAGAAGAGUAUGAAUUGGAUAGAAGUGGGAGCUUCAACGUUUUAGAAACAAGCUCUUCGCAAGCAAAUGUAUCGAUAUCUUGAUCUUUUUUCGCCAGAAGCCGAAUUCCAUCCUUAUUGUUCCCACUCUUUGAUUCUGCAGAAAGAUCAUUUCUUUCAACUGAUUUUGUUUUCCUCGCCCCAGACACUUUUCCACUACCCUCCCUGGUAUUUGCUCCAUGUACUAGGAACCCAGAUCUUUCCGAGCCAUCCCUUGGAAGAGGAAGAGAUCUGACUUCUUUUGCAAUCAUUUCCUUUUCAGUUAAAUAAAUUAAAUCUUCAGGAAGAGGUGACAAAAGCAUACCCUCAUACACCGGACAGGAUGUCAUAAUCUGCUUCAGACCGUCAUCCAAAAGAAUAUUUCAGUCAAUGCACAUUAUGUUUGAAUAAGAUAACAACUAAAUAUUUCAGGGAGAUGAUCACCUGGAGAAUACUAGUGGGAGAUUCAAAUAGGGCAUCUUGAGGGUCAUGAGAUAUUCCUUCACUAUCUGAAGAAUCAUCAAGUGAGGAAGAUGGUGUACCGUCAAGGCCAAGCCCACUAUAGAUAUCAUUUUUUCGUGUCGACAAGUUAUCCGAACCCACUUUAAGUCGUACUUUGAGAGUUUUCUGGUCUGGUAUUUUAAUAGGUUUCUUCGUUGCAGAUUCCUGUUCAGGAGGAUACAAAUCAGCUCGAUUAGAUGAUACACUCACGUCUUGUUUGACUGGAAUGUUUGCUGAUGGUGCCUUAGGCGCAACAAGUGAAAUAGAACUGGUAGAAGCAGUUCCAAGUCCCACAGACUGAGAUACAGCAUAACAACUUGCAUUGUUACGAUGGCCACCCUGUGUGGUAAAGCAAACAAAUGCGCUCAAGAACAAUUAUUCUGAAAUAAAUAUGGAAUAUAUGUAACAAAUAGAAACUAAUAUCCUCAUUAAGUUGAUACCUCGAGUUUUAGACUGUUGGGAGAUUUGGGUAAGCCAUUAUUCUGAAUUUUUGCUGGAGUCCUCGGAUGAGACCAGACUGGAGACCGCUGAUAGCUAGGUAAAAAUGAGCCAUACCCACCGAACUUUGCCCCUGUUACAGUAAAAUUAUCAAAGUUCGUUAAUAACAGAGAAGAGACUACAAUUAAGGCAUACCUUAAAAAUGAAAGAAGUUACGGCUCCACUAUUUGACUUACCUAGAUUCUCAGCAGACACCCCACCUUCAAAAUCUUUCUGGAAGUGUCCCAAAACAUCCUGAAUUUUAUCAUCCUAAUGUCAAGCAGAGCAAACACAUAGUUAAGUACAAAGCUCAUUCAAAAGACAGUAAGUAAUAACAAGGGCUAGAACAAGAUGGCAAUACUUCCAUAACAGUUCGGGUGAUAUUUACGUAUCUUUUAAUAUUUGAGAUAAUACAUUGUUCAGCUAUCUACUAUUAAUCCCUACAUCAGGAACCAGCAGUUACUCUCAAUUACAGAUACAGAAAGUAUGAUCGGACACUUUCAGUCAUAUCAUAGGUAAGUCCCAGAAACCUUGAUUUAUAACAUUCGAAUAGUGCAAUCCCACAAAAUUUGUAACUGGAUAAGAGGCACAGCACAGUCAACAGUACUCGAGUAACAUUAUUAUGCAGCAACUAAGUUUUACCAUAACCAGUCACCAGUGCAUAAAACAUUUCCAUAAACCACCUGAAACAACCAUUUCAAUACCUCCCAAUAACAAGUCAAUGAAGAAUACUUUAGCUCAUUGCAAAAUGGAUGAAUCUCAAGCUAAACACCACAAUUACCUUACAUUAACCAAUCCCCAAGUAACAAAACUCCUAAACUACAUCGUCUAUUCUCGAAUCAUAAAUCCAAUCACACGCUCCACUGCCCUCUACAGUUUUCAGAUUAACAAAAUUCAUAACCCAGAUUUCAAUCAAACACCGCAGCUGGGAUCUAACACCAGCAAUUUACAAGUCAACCCCCAUGAAUUCAUUACCAAAAUGAUUAAAUACACAUAUACAGGUCUUACGAUGUAAGCAAGAUGAACAUCAGGGUCGAUAUUCGGAUCGUAUUCAUUGAUUUGAGAAGAACAAGCCUCGCCUUCUUCAAGCUCGGAAUCGUCCAUCUCUCUCGCACCUCCUCCGAAUCCUAACCCUAGCCCCUUCCUCCCAUCCCUACCCCCCACAGAAAUCAUCCACACCCCAAAACCUACCUACCUUCUCUCAAAUCCUCCCUCAAUUGAAAACCCAAAGCUCCCUCCGAUCCAUUCGACCGGAAACUCCCACCGAUCAGUCAAAUUCAGAAAAAAAUAAAAAUAAAGACAGAAAUCGGAAGCAGAAAUAGUUUCUAAAAACCGCGAAGAAUUACGCAGGUGUUUUUAUUUUUGGACAAAAGGAAAAAAGUUGGGAGAGGAAUUUGAUGUGUUGUGUGCGCUUGAAAUUGAUUGAGCAGGAGUCCCUCCUUUUCUUUCUCUCUCUUUCUUUCUUCUUUCUCUCUGGUUUUUGGUGUUUACAGCAGGAGGCUGCUUUGGUUUUUUUUUUUUCCUUUCUGUUCAAGCAAAAUAUUAUAAUAAUUGAUUUCUGAUUGUUUAGGUGUCCAAAUAAGAUUAGGAGGAAGGAGCCGGGAUCUGACCGAGACACCGCCGUUUUGUUUCCCGUUACGGUCACGUAUUUAACUCUAUUUCUAUUUUGCCCUUUUUUUCCUUUUUUUUGUUGGAAUGGCUUUGUCCGGAAGAAUUGGAUGUAUUUAGAUGCUGCAUGGUGGGUGUUGCCACGCGCCUAGGUAAGUUUUAAAACAGUAGACCUUGUUUUAAAUGUCUAUUUAAAUUCAAAAGAAAAUAUUCAAAGAUUGUCUAUUGCAUGCGUGAUUAGUGUGUCUGCAAGAAGGUUGUUUUAUAACGGUUACGAUAUUAUGUUAUACUUUUUUUUUUUGAAAGGUGAUUUGACAUUCAAAUCAUAUCUACAUCUAACUAUCUAACGUUGAAUAUAAUAAAUAUUGUUUGACGUGAUUAACUUUAGACUUUUUUUUUAAUAUUGAAUAUGAUGGAUGAUGAUUCAAUUCAUAGUGUACAUUAAUAUUCGUCAAAUGCUCUAACUGUGCAUUUCAGUAUAGUGUGUCUAACCAUUCUUAACAUCUUCGUGAUUUAGACUCAAGUUAAAAGUUCUUCACUCGACACAAUGUAUCUUUGUUUUCAAUGAGUGUAUUUUAAUUUGCAUGUUAAAGUGUUGGCAAUUUUCUGUUACUUAUGUACAACGUAAAUGAAGUUGUUAAUAAAUUCUUAAAAACAAACACCGAACAAAGAAAAGAGUUAAGUCGUAAAUAAAGAACUAAGUUCAUGUAUAUUACCUUGUGUGAGAGCACCGGCGGAGCCAUAAAAUACACAAGGAGGGGGGGGGGGGGGGGGGGGGGUCAAUAUAGGAGAAUGUUAUAUUAAAUCUUCUAAGUUAGCUAGAUGUCAAACACAAGAUACAUAUAAAGCCAAGGUUUUAAAGGUUUUGAGAGGUGCCAUGACACCUCUUGGUCUAUGUUUAGCUCUGUUAGUGUGUGAGAAAGUUAGUAUCGUUGUUGGUAAAAAAACCCCCGCAUAAUAGGAUUUAGUAUGGAUGCACAUAUUAUUAUUAUAGUGUCAUUUAUAAUAAAUGUUAAACUCUAUAGAUGUGGUAAGACCGUACUUUAUCUAAGGUAGUUAAACUGAAUCAUAAAAUAAGAAUAAGAUAUAUAAAAGAAUAAAAUGAAUAUUAUUAUCAUGUACUAUGACCAUUUGAUCCCAAUCAUAAAAUGAAGUAUAAUUAUUUUAUAAAUAUCAUGUGUAAGCUUAUUACAAGCAGAAUAUUACAAACAGUCAAACAGAUGAAUGCAUCAUCAGUUCAAUACCAUUGGUUUGAUUCAAUUGUUUGGGAUAAUGGUAACUACUAAUAACCUCUCGGAAUAAGUAAAUUUUUUGGAGAGAUAAUUGGGUUAAUAUUUCCCGUCCUGGUAUAUCCGCGGCAGUGUGGUUCAGGACUCCUGGAAAGCGAGUGGGGGCAUACAGUCUUUGUGAAGCCACUUGUCAGUUGGCCAAUCCGACAUGUUCUUUAGUUAUACCUGGUCCACCUGGAUACAUGUGUUUCAUUUUCUCCACGAUAUAUUUACUUAUGAGAAAUUUUAAAUACACACAUUUAAUCUCUUAAUAUACAUUUUUAUUAUUUUAUAUUUUUAUUGAGAUUUUAUAAGUAAAUUAAAUGACCAAAACAGACAUCUAUUAUUUUUUUUUAUAAAAACUCUAUAAAUAUUCUUUUAAACGUUUUCUACCCUAAAAUCGUCGAAAGCAUGUCUUCUCUCCUAACCUCAACUCUUCUCCACAAUUCAUUUGGGUUGUCUUUUGUUUUUUUGUUUUUGUAUAUGUAUAAGCUUUAGUUUGAUCUUGCAUAUCAUAUUGUCGAGUACUGCAUCUUUAUCAUGACAUGUUUUAUCGAAUAACUAGUUAUCUAUGUUUAAUAGCGAUUGUACUUCUACAGCUCUACUAGCUUGUGAAUUUUGAAAACUUGUAUUGGUGAUUUGGAGUUGGGAUAUAACAAUAAUCAUUUGAUUAUAAAUUAAACGAUGAUAACCAAAAAUUUCUAACAAAAUUAGAUGAAAUAAUAUGUCAAAAGAGGUACCAAAUAAUAAAUAUACAUUAAUUAUAUUAAAUAAUGAAAUAUUUCAUAAUUAAGGGCAUUUUAGACAGUUUGAGAUGUGUAUUAAGUAUAAUAUUAAAAUGAAAAACUUGAUAGGUGGUGUAUUAAAUAAAUGGUGUGUAUUAAGAUAUUAGGGGUGUGUACUUAUUUAGAAGGCAACAAAAAAGAAGAAAAAAUUAUGGGGAAAGAAAAGGUGAAAUUAAUUGGUUAGGAUCAUCUGAUUAUCUAAUAAUAGUAAAGAUUAUGAGAGAUUUGUUCCCAAAAUCGUGAUUUGCUUAUGUUUAACUAUUUGACGAAUCAAGAACCGUAUUUAAUUGUAUUUAUAUAUGUACUUUGAGCUGUUAGUUUUUUUGAAAAUUCGAUUUUUUUAUUAUUAUUUUUUAUAUAUUAAUCGUACUGUAUGAGAGACCUUUAGAAAUAAUAAAAUACGAAUGACUCUAGCAAUAUAUAUCUCAUAUAACUUAUAAGCUUAGUUAUAAAAGCUUUAUUCAUUUUAUUCGGAAUAGAGAUUUGAGAAUGAGACAUGUGACUUUUCUAAUUUUAGUAAUGGGUCCAAUUCACGUAAUCAACCAUCUCAAGCUUGGUUACGCUCAACUAUCCUUGAAUUUAGAUUCACCGGUAAACCAAUUAAGAAAAUAUGUAAAUUUUAACUACUUUAUCUGUGAAAAUGACUUUCUAAUGCAAUAUAAUAUAAAUAUAAAUAAUAGAGGUAAAGUAUUUACUACUGAAAACAUUUACCGACUGUAAAUAUUAUGAGGGUAAAUCGCCCACCGUUUGGGCACAAACAAAGACAAAAGAGGGACUCGUGUUUGUUGUAGGGAACAAAAGUCAGAGGUUGACCCACGUGCGUAAUUAAUAUUAUGACGUGUCUGAAACCUUCUGUACUGUUUUUUUAUUUUACCCAAACAAGUCUUAACGAUAUUAGUGUGCAGUCAGUAUCUUUGUUAAUUUCUUCCCUUUUUUACUGGGCAAAGAAGAGGGCCUGAAUCUGAAUCAUUUAUCUUUACUACCCAAGAUGGAUAAAAGUAGUAAAUGAGAUUCAUGGUACAAUGCCAUGAAGGUGGAGCUAGAGCAGGUGUUUAAUUAAUGUAAAAUGAAUACAUGCAUGCAUUUGGUUUUGUUGUGAUGGUUUACAAGAUAUGAAGAUAUAAUUUCAUAAACAGAAAAACACUCAUGAAUCAUAAAGGUAAGUAAUAUUGUGAUCAACAUGAUAAAAAGUUUCAAUAAACUCCGUCAACUAUAAUAAUCCUCUGAGUAGGUGGAACAUACAUUAAUAUUAUUUAGAUCGAAUAUCUCACCCACAUUACAGGGUUGUAUAAACAAAAAAUGUUGUGUUUAACUUACUAAUAUAUGAAUAAACUAAAUUUCUAAAAGAGUAAUGAAAAAAUAAGGACCACUCAAUUGUAAAAGAGUGAGAAAAAGAAAGACAUUGCAUAUGACUUGAUUCUUCCUCCAUAUCUUAAGGAUUAGAUUUACAAAAAUUUAAUUGAUCCUUCAAAAAACCUAAUCUUUUUUCAAGAUUAUGUAAAUAUUGAAAAGUAAAGUCAAGUUUGGUAUUGAGUUUUGGGACAUAAAAUCAUUUAUAAUCACAAUUUUGAAUAUAUUUCACAUUUUGUAAAAUUUUAUGAGGUGCUUAUUUAAAUUUUUUUAGGCUAAAUAACCAUGAUUUUAAAAAGCAUGUUAGAGGUUGUUUUUUUUAAAUUAAGUUUGUUUUUAUUUAAAUUUUUUUUUAAAUUGAGUCUUCACAACAAUAUCAAACUAAGAGUAAGUAACAUAAAAUCUCUUGAUAUAGCUGUGAGCCUUCAAGACACUCCGUUAAAUACUUCAAUUCUUAUUUAAUAUAUAUAUAUAUAUAUACACGUUGUUAGUUUUUCAUAUAGUCUUAACCAGACAUGCAAAGAUUUUAUAGACCCAGAAUCUAGUUCCUUGACGCAUGUAAAAUGCACCAAUUAUGCAGUGCAACACAAUGUCUGGCCGCUUUUCUAACUUCGGGAAUCGAGCUUAAGUUGAGAGCACACUCAACUAGACAAAAAUCAUUAGACCACUUGCGGUGGUUAUACCGUAUAUAUUUGUCAGCUAAGCCUGGGUAGCUAAUUAAAAAAAUAUGGCUAAUUAAUGGUCCUUUUUUGAAAUCAAAACGGAGACCAUCAAUUAUUUACUUAACAAUCUAACAACAUAGUAAAAUAGUAUGACAUUAACGAUCGAUUAAAUUAACACGCAUGUACUAGUUCCGCUCCGUCAAGUAAUUGAAGGAAACUAAACCUGUACACUGAAUAACAUCAUGUGUGUUAAAUGAACGAAAUUAUUGCUACUACACUUUGAACUCAAACUCACACACAUAACACUCACAAAAAGAUUCACUCCCAAAACAGAAAAAAGCAGCGAGAAGAAGAAUGUGAAUCAUGAGAAACACGAGGUACGUCAAGUAGCCAUCAUCACGAGCAGCGUCUGGCGCCGUCUGCUCAUUCCGUACUAGAGAAUUCAAGGCAUCCAAUAUGUGUGGACUUGUUUCAUCCAUCCAAACAAUAUUAACCCCAAAAAAGCUCCAAGAGAUUAAGGACAUCCAGGUUCAUUGUGAGCACCCAGGUCACCAAUUAUUAUUCUAAUUCCUGUUUUUAUUCAUGGGUUUAAUAGUUGGAAUUAGAUAUUUGUAUUAUUAAGUGCCGUCAUGCAUUGUUUCUGGUAAUUAAUCAAUAAUAUUGGGGACCUACUAGCUUUGUCCCUCCAAGUUAUGACCAGAAUAUGCUCAGGUUUGUGCUGUAUUAUCUUGGCAUAUCUGUUCAUACUUUUACGGUUUACAAUACAGAUCAGCGAAAUGUAAAACCUAGGUACCCUUUUACUAAAUCCGAUCCAUGGUGAAAAAUGACAUCUUCUUAAAUAGUUUCGUUUUAACAAUGUUCUUUUUUUUUAUUAACGUAAAAGGCUUUUUAGACCCAAUGUCAAGAUUCAAGCCUAGAUUGAGAGUUACACCCAACUAAACGAGUACCACUAUACCACUCACAAUGGUUUCUUGUUAAAUAGUUAUUAUCACAGUUACACACCCAACAUUUGAUCCAGUUACUAGGGUAAGUAAAAAAGUGAAACGAAACAGUCAGCCAGAUGAUAUGAAUUGAAUUGUAACGAAAAUGUUAAAAGCCAUUACGAUAGUGAACGUGUUGUAUGUACGGAAGUCAUAUGAGAAUACGGUUAGGAUUCAACGAGAUUAGGAUUCCUAGUCCAAUCGAAUAAAAAAUGAGGAAUUUGAUUCUAAGAAUGACUCCUGCUGCAUCUUUGGACGAAUAAUGGUACAAGUGAAUGGGAUCGGAAGGACAAGUCUUUCUAUCUAUUUGUUCUAUUAAUUCUCAAAUUAUUAUGAUUAUUACUAUCUAUUUUUCUCUUAGUGGUACAUCCUACUAUGAAAAAGCUUCAUCAACAGACAACAGUUAAGCGAGUAUAAGAAGUGAUCUGUAAUUUGACCUCCUUAAUUGAGGAGAAAUCAUUUGGAAGAACCUUCAAACUGAUCUCGCAGCAGCUCAUACUUCCUAAGCUCGGCUGUGGAGAGUGAGGGCGAUAGCUCCUUUAAGACCUAAGAUUAUCGGGGACAAAGGCAGUCAGUAGAUGCACCAGAAACUGGAUUUAGAACAAUUCUUAUUUGUCUUGUAAAAGCACAACAGUACUUGUGAUUAACUCAGACACUUAAACACAGUUCAGAAAAAGACCGUCGUACCUUGACAAAAUCAUCAUAUUCAACAAUAACAGAGUCAGGUUGGUCAUCUAUGGAAGAGGAAUCUGAAUCUGAACUCAAAACCUGCAUGAAUGGCAAGAAGCACGUCAGAACAUCCCUUUAUCUAGUGAGUAUUAUAUGAUAAAAGCGUAAAGCUUAUGAACAUUGUAUCUUUAUAUAAUCCAGAAUAUUGUUGAGAAUGCAGGAGCAUCUAGUAUUCUGACUUUCUGAGUGUUGCAUCUUGAUUUGUACAAUCAUGGGUCUCUCCAGUACUGUAUAAUUGAUUGUCUACGACUCCAAUAUUAACAGAACUGUAUCAGUCUCUUUGCUUUACUAACCAGUUAAGCUCCACUCACCAAUGCAUUUCCUAUUUCAUAACUAUAAUUGAACACACCUCAAAAUCAAUCCACGUCCUUUAUCAAAUAUGAACUACCCCUCUACACCCUGAAUAUAUUGGACAGCUUACACCAAUACUUUUGGUUCAAUCAAAACCAACCAUAAGCUCUGGUGUUGACUAGACUCACCUUACGCUUAGCUGCACUAAACCAAGCAUCCGCACACAAGGCAUACAUGUCUGCACCAGUGAAGGUUGGUGGACAUUUCUUCGCUAUUGAAUAAAGUGAAACAUCUUCAUGUAACUUAAACUUUCGGGUAAGAGCUUUGAGAACCCUAUAUAAAAAAGGAAAGAAAAAGAAUCAUCAUACUGACAACAAAAUUAUUCAAUGAUGAACUUACGUAAAAACCAACCGUUCUCUGUAAGAUGGAUCAGACACAACUCCAACAUAAAGCAACUUAUCAAACCGGCCAGGCCGUAGAAGUGCUGGGUCAAUUAGAUCUGGUCUGUUACUUGCUCCAAUUAUAAACAAGUCCUACAUUAAACCAAACAAGGCUUUUCUGUCUUAGUUGAGGAUAGCAAAAUACCCUGUGAGAUAUUGGAAAAAAGAAAAAGAAAAAUAACAAGCAAGAGACAGAGCAAACACCUGAGUUGAAUCAUUUAGGCCAUCAAUCUCUGCAAGCAUCUAGUGGAACAGAAAGUCACAGUCAGUAUCAAGGAAUAAAUGCAAAUUUUCCCAGUCAUAAAGAAGGAUGCUUCACCUGAGAAACCACUCUGUCCAUGACACCCCCAGAAUCCCCAGAUGCACCUCGGGCUGGAGCAAGGGAAUCAAGUUCAUCAAAAAAUAUAACACAUGGGCGUGCUGAUCUAGCCUGCAAAGCAUGUGCAAUACUGCUCUAGUGUGAGCCAAAAUAGAUGUUCUGAAAUUCAAGUAGAUAAACAACAAUAAACUUCUUCCAAAAGGCUAAUGAUCAAGCUGGAAUGUUUUACCUUCUGGAAAAUGUCUCUGAUAUUCUUUUCUGACUCUCCUAUGUACAUAUUAAUGAGUUCAGGUCCUUUUACACUGAGAAAAUUUAGGGAGCACUCAGUUGCAACAGCUUUUGCCAGCAGAGUCUGAGGGUUGAAGUCAGAAAAACAAAUGAGUUUAACAAAUCUCUUGGGGUAAAUGAGAGGGAAAAUAGAGAAAACCUUAGAGGAGUAACUGUAACUUACUUUCCCUGUUCCCGGUGGACCAUACAGUAGAACACCAGAACGCUUUCGUAAGCCAGAUGAAAACAAGUCCUUGUGCAGAAGAGGUAACUAGAACAAACAACAAAGAAGAAUUGAGUUGAUAAAGCGUUCCAAAUUCCAAAUUGCUGGAAUCUUCCUGGUGGACAACAGGUAAAAAGUGUAGAUACAACAGACCUACCUGUACAGUAUCCAGGAUUGAUUUCUUCACAUCCUCAAGACCACCAACAUCUUCCCAUUUGACGUUAGGAACCUAUAGAGAAUAUGAUUUAAAUUGCAUUAGAUGUCCUAUAAGUAUACUACUUCCACGUUUGUUGCAAUAUAAAACUCAUUUUUUAGCCCCACAGAAGAGGACACACUUAGACAUCACCCAAUACAGAGAGCUUGAUAGGAAAGGACAAUAUAUCAUUCCUCGAAAUUAGUCUUGUCUCUCAAUUACCUUUGGAGUACCAAGGGCUGAUGCAUUCCUUUUCUUUGAUCUGUCCAAUGCUUUUGUCAAGCUUUCUUUUCCCAGAAUCGGAGAUGUGACUUCACAGGACUUACUGUCUGAUUCGACAUAAUCUUUGAGAGAAGCAUCUGAUUCUUCAGACUUCACUGUGUCAAUCUGAGCAUUGCCUUUUGGAAUCAAGUUUGCACCAGCAUCAGCAACCAAUGCACAGAUAUCUCUGGGCAUGAAACCAGAUGUCUGUGCAACUAUAUCCUUUAUAAGAUCCUCCGAAUCAGUCUGCAAAAAAACAAUUCUGAUCCUUUUAAGUCACGAGAUGAUCAAAAGAAACUACAAUUAAUACCAUGUAGAAUACAAAGGCGUACAGAACUUGUUUAUGGACUUCAAGAUUCACAUUCAGUUAAAAUCUGAAAAGUGACAGAUGGAGAGUUUACCAUUUGACAACACUGCAUUAGGCAUUACAUAUAAUUAUAUAAAAAAUUGCUACCCGAAGACAUAUUUAAGCGAUGUCAAUACUUGGUGCGACCAUGAUAAUUUUUUAACCACACCAUAGGAAUGCGGCAAACCAUCAAAUUGGGGGGGGGGGGGGGGAACGGUGGUGGAUAUAACACUUGUUUUGGUCAUACCCAACCAUCGAAAGCCAGAGGAAAAAAAGUAUUUAAGCAUCAGAAUCACGGUAUCAUCAAGGGAGAUCUUGACUGAAAAUUAUUAUACCCAAUCAAUAUAGAUGCUGAGCCCCAGUGCUUGACAGGAGCUCAGAUGAGAACAGGUGUCAGAUAAAAAACAAUUCUUGGCCCACCAGGUAGCAGCUUAGGCUUUUGAAAUCAAUAGCAAACCAACAAAACGUAUGCAUCAUAAUCAUAUUUAUAAUAGACUGCACACAUAAAAGGUUAGGAUUUUCCAACAAAACUUAUGCAUGAUAUACUUCUAAUAGAAAACACAUAUAAAAGGUAAAGAGAAACCAAACAUAUUUUUUACAUACAUUAGAAAGGAAUUCGGAAGCCUUCUGCAAAGACUCUGAGACCAUUUUAACCCUUUGUUCUUCAGUCAAUGGACCCAUACUUAUUUCAUGGCUAAAGCAACGUCUAAUAGUUGGCGGUAGACCUUCUGAACUGUCAGCAGCUGCAAUUAACAGCACUUGAUGCCUACCUACUUUCCCAGAAUCCUGCAUGCAGUGUAGUAUUAUUAGGUUGGUCAGAUUAGAAAACAAAAAACAACAUAGCAAUCAACAAAAGAGGAGAAGUCACACAUGAAAAAUGAGUGAGGACUAGAAUUUACAUCAACUAAUGAUCAUUUCUCAGAACCGAAAUUAAUUAAUCAUACAUAAGAAUAACCCAAGACACAAAAUAUGGCACUAAAGCCAUGUACUUACAGUAUGACCAUUUUGUUUUUGUUCCAUAUCUCCAGAAUCAAAAAUUGGCUCAGUGAAUUCCCUUAUAAGUGAUGCAACUUCAGAAGUGAUGCCAACUUGAUCAUUUGGUGAACCUUCUUGCAAAUUCCGGAAAACAUCAAAAUGGCGGAGAAGAAGUAUAGUUGGCGAGUAUCUGAAAGAACAUUGCAUAAGAACGAACUGGAACAACCAUUGAAAGUAGGAAACUUAGGUGCAACAAAAUUGAAGGAUAUGGCAGAGAAAGUUCUCCCAUCAAAUGAUAUAAUGGAGAAGGAUAAAAUAAGGAUAGAGUAGUAUGACUGUUUUCUCAUAUAUCAUCGAAGAAAAGUUGUAUAGCUAAUUAGUGAAACAAUAGGUAACAAUAACUGCUGCUGUCAAGCAUAUAUCAUAAAAAUGCAGUAGUAACAGAGGAAAUUUGGGACCUCUAGCAUGUAUCAUACUCAAAAAAUGCAUUGCUUUACCUUUGAGCAGCAUUCAAGGUUUGGGCUAGUGCAACAGAAAUCUUUUUUUCAGAUGACGUCGUCAGAUUAUGACAGCUAUAUUCAACUACAUGCAGGCCCAAUCGACGAGCAACAUAUCUAAUAACCGUUCUCUUCCCACAUCCUGCACCAAGCAUCAAAUAACUACUCAAUGACACUAAACUCAUGUGCGCAUGAAACAUACAACUUAGGCAACUCAUCCAGGGUAAUCAUUCUUUUCCAUAAGUGGUAAUAGGUUAAAGAACUAUAUUACAUAUUGAAUGCUUAAUCCCAAGGGAUCUUGUUAGAGAGUAGAGACCUUGCGAAAUUAAAUAUAAAUGCAACCAUCAAGUGUUCAUGACAAAAAGGAAAGCUUCAAUAUACCUGCCAAUCCAUACAAUAGGACAGAAACUCUGAAUUUUGAGGAUAGUGCUGAGGGGCACAGAAGCGGAGUAAGUAUGGAGGCCAACAUUUUCACUGUGUCCCCUUGCAAAGGUACAAAACCUUUUUGUCCAGCAAUCAAUAAAUCAGGGGGCACAGCAGAAGAGACGCUUCCUCCAAGCACAAGGGCAGUUUGAGAACGGUUAACUCGGAGAAUUGGUUUGUCCAAAGGUUCCAUAGCCACAACCUAAGACAACAAAUGACACGGUGAUUGUCAUUAUCACAUUUGUUGACUAGAAAUUGCAACUGAUGAAAAGCACUGAGAAUUCACCUUGAAAUAGAUAGUGUUAUCAACCCCAUUUUCCAAACUUUGGUCGCAAGGAACGCAAACCAUUGACUUGCAAUUCCACUUUAUACAAACACUGAAAACAUCACCUCUUGCUAGAUACCUAUCAACCUCAAAGUAGCUAUGCAGUGCCGAAUCUAUCAUUUCUUGACGAUCUUCAUGUUCAACAGCCGAAUUCCCUCUAAGAGAGUCAAGACUACCACAUUCCGGUACCUUCACAAACGAAGCCCUCAAGUGCGAAGCAUAUCUCGGCAACUCCAAAUGCGGCUGUAUCCCAAUCACAGAACCCCCAAUCCCUUUCCCACUCGCCUCAUCAUCCACCCCAUCCCCAAAAUAAGACGCCAACGCCGCUUCCCCUCUGUGAACAAGCGAUUUCAAGCACAAUGUAUGCAAGUCAAUGUUAAACGCCAACAUAGGCGACAUAUACGCAACUUCCUGAUCUAACAACAUGUGGCCAUUUCCAGGCAAAGUGCAACAAGGCAGAACAAGCAUUGCGUGGGAAGACUGGCCAGCAGAUAGUUCAGUGUUCUCGGAGCGGUCCGGUGGAUCCACAACAAUGACCUGAGCAAUUCUUUGUAUGUUUGUCUCCAUAUUCUUCACAAGCACCUUGUUUAUACAAAUCAAAAUCAAAGGAAAAAAAAAAACACUAAAGCAUCAAUUACUUGCUGUGCAGAAUUUUCCACAUGAAAUUAACGCUAAAAUUGAAGUAAUUAAAGAAAUUACAGCUCCUCCUACAAUUGAAAUCCGAAGAAUUAAAGAGUAAAUUUAGCAGAGAGAAAAGAGUAGAUGGAUUUGGAUACCAGGGAGCCGGAGGUGAUGUAGAGGCGUUUGAGGAGAGAAGUGGAGAGGCCGACGAGAGCAGAGUCGUCGAGAGAAGCCGAUUUGGGGCUCCGGUCGACGUAGAAUCGGAGAAUUCCCGGCGGAAGCAGCUGGAAGCUGGUGGUGACGUCAUCGGAGGCGGAGAGUGGGUGAUCGUCGCCGGAGGUGAGGCCUCCCGGCGGGGAAGAGAGUAGGGAUUUGAUGAGAGUUUUAGUGGAAGUGAGUACUAGUGGCUUCCUCCUCCCCACCAUUGGAAACUAGUGAGCUCUCUCUCUCUCUCUCUCUCUUUGGGGAACAAGUUCAAAUUUAGUUGCAUAGUAGUAUUUAUAUGAAGGUAGAGAGAGAGAGGUGGGUUGGAUUAGAGUGAGGAGCGCAUUUCGAUAGAAAGUAAAAAGGGACAAAAAAGUUAAAAAUGGAGAUGCGGGGUAUCGAUCCCCGUACCUCUCGCAUGCUAAGCGAGCGCUCUACCAUCUGAGCUACAUCCCCAACUUGACAGCUCCGGGAUUAUGCGGAUUAUUAACCUUCAUAAAGAAAAGAAAUGUGAAUUAUGAGUGAUAAAAUAUUGUGUGGCAAAAGUUUUAGUGUUUCAAAGUAAUGAAAUUCUAGAGUCCAAUAAAGAAUGUUGUUUUACGAUUGUAAGAAUUCAGUUGUACCAACUUUUCUUUCAUAUAGAAAGAGGUAGCGGAAGCUUUGUGAUUACAAAACAACUCUUAACAUGGUAUAAGGAAAGGUUGUUGUGUUGGAAGACGGACAACCUUAGCUUCUAUGCGUGCCUGAUUUGGAGGAAAGAAUCUUGCAAGAUAUGGAUAUAGACUUGUGCAAUCUCUAUGAAUGUAGACCCAUCAAUAAACCAGGUAGCACAAACAGCUCUUCAACUAAGCUCAAGUCCUCAUCUCCAUAGCUACCUACUCAUCCAUACAAGGCAGCUUGUGCAAUCAAGUCCAAUGACCUUUUUCAAUGACUAUACAAAACUGUUUGCCUGUCUCUCUCUCUCUCCCUAAUAUGUCUUCAAUCUGAUAGAAACAACCAGCUGGGAGAAACAAAAUGAACAAAGUUUCAAUUCCACAUAGAAGAUUGAUCAAUGAUGGAGCUUUUCACAAUAUAUUUAUUGACAGAUCCACAAAACCAACAGUGUUGAACUGUUGAUUAAGUUGCACAACUGCAGAUUUAUGCAUCAGAGCCUUAAAUAGUUAAAGCAUGUGAUCGGGUGCAUGUAGGUGCCCUUAUAAUUACUUCUGCAAUUUUCAAGCCGGCCUGUUGGCUUAACAGGCCUAUCAAAGCAGCAAGGAAAGUGUGCAUAUGAUGUGCGCUCUGAUCCUCCAGUUCUCUCCGAAGCAGGCUGCUGCUGCAUGUUUAGUUUGCUCUUCAACCAACCUCAACCCAGUAGCCAGCAAUAUAGAGUUGCUACUGCAUUAAAUCUACUAAUGACUGUUUCUAAUGAAACUAGAGAAGAAACAUGUAAAUAUCUCUUACAUUAAUGUUAUCUACUAGGUUCAGUAUCAGCUAAGCUAAUUUUUCAUUCCUCCAAUGCAAACUGAUUUCGUUUACCUUCAUCUUCUUCGACCAUUAUAGAGUAACCCUAAAGCUCUGGAAUCAAGAUCAAAGGAUGAUCCAUAGCACCACACCAGGGUUGUUGGUUCUUAAACCAGUUUAAGUAGAUAACUGGAUAGAGACGAACCGAGUCUCUAAUGAAACCAAUAAGAGAAUGAUAACUGCAGCAACUAUAGUUUAGCUUUUCACAUUUUUGACAAACCAUAAAACCAGUAAGAGCCACAACAGAGCACAUUCCAUUGCUGCCGAUCAAAUACCUAAUUGUUAAUGCCAAUUUGAUGUAACAGGACAUGAUAAAUAAGACAGUGAUUCCCUUAAAGGAACAGCUAUUUUGUAGACACUAGUUGACAAACCUCUUUCAAAUCACCACUAGGCUUCUUCACAAACUUUCUUGCAGCACCUCCAGAUUCAAAGCUACCCCCCCAGAAAUGUUGCAGCGUCACCAAGAUCAUACAUCCUGCACAUAUACUUUGCCUUGGUAUACAUCCAACAAUUGAGGUACUUGGUCGAGAUAUCUGGUGACAAACCUACUAAAGAAGCACUCCUCUGAAGGCACAAACACAUAAGACAAACUCAACUUCUUCUCUUCUAUCAGUCCUUUCAACAACAAAACUCUAACAACCGAACACCGAGGGAUGAUUCUCUUCUCCAAGCUGUACACAAAAACAUACGGAACCUCCGCAAUUUUUCCUGAUUCCCAUCCCAUCUUGUUCACUAAGAAAUCCAUUGUCACCAUUAUUUUCUUCUCAGACACCAUCAUACACAGUGGAUGCCUCUUGAAGGCAGAAAGAAUAUCAUUAUCCGACCAACCCCACCUCCUAUAAGCCUCUUCCUUAUGUCUCCAUGUUGUUUUCUUCCAGGAUAAUACGACCAUGGCUUGCACAAAGUUCACAUUUCCCGGGUCAAAUCCCAUUUCUGCGACUUGGCGGACUAAUUGACUGAAGAAUUCAGGCUUUCUCGUCACAGUCUUACUAAAACAUGCUACCAACCGCGCAAGAGCCGAGUGGGGCAUGCCCAACUCUGUAACAAGUCUAAUAUUGGGUUUAACAUUCUUGGAUAGAUUUUCCAAGAAAAUGGAUGAGUUCUGUUUUAGAGUACGAACGACCUUGACAUCAGAGAUCACCACGCUUUUGAGGAAGUUAUAACAGGGUAUAAGACUGUUUUCCAAGCUUCGCGUCAAUAGAUUUGGGUUGUAAGUCAUUAUUUUUGCAAGGUCGAGCCUUGACAUCCCUAUGGAGCAGAAAAACUCAAGCUUUGGCAAAAGGGUCUUCUUCGCAUUGGCUAAGAUAAGUUGCGGGCGUCUCCGCACAAGAGUUGAGAUCUGGGUAUCUGAGAAUUCAUACUCUCUCAAAAGGGCUAGAACGGAGUUUGGUUGCUCUAAAGAUCGAAGCUGUACCUUGUGGGCUGCUAGAGUAGCGGCUUUUGGGGACAACCCACAUGAGCGAAUGAGGUAAGAGAGUGUAGGAUUGUCUUGGGCUGCUGGGAUUAUCGAGCUGCUGAUGAACCUUCGACCAAAAUGAGAAGCAGCUACUGCAAAUGCUUGAUUUCUGUACAGAAGACUUGAAAACAUUGGGUGUGCGGAUCCGAGGCUCUUGCCGAAAAUGUAGAAGAGUGCCAUGCUCCACUCAUUACUUCAUUAGAGAGAAUUGGAGUAUUGGAGAUGGCCAAUUUUGGGUUCCCAAUUCAAAACGCACUAGGGUUUUGGUUCUCCCAAAUGAACCUCAUCUACUGUCGUCUUUUGCUUUUCCCACUUACUCUUGAAAUGUUGAGAGAGUGAAUAUAAUCUAUAAAUAUAUAGAGGGACUAAUUUAGCCCUCAAAGUUUUACAGAUGUAAAUAACGAGGUGGCAUACUUUCAGUCGAGAUCACAAAUUUAUAUAAUGCCGUUUUGAUUUUUUCAAAACAUAAGACACCUAAAUUACGAGUAGGUCAUUUAUCGUGUACAAUUGUUAAAAAAUUUCCGCACAAAUAAUGUAUUGUUGAUCUCAGCUGCGACAUCAAGUGAGGGGUGAGAUGAAGCUACUCUGCUCACUUUUGACAUCUGCUCACUGAUCUACUCUGCAUCACUGAUCUGCAUAUAGGAUUUAGUAAAGUUAAUAUGAACAUUCUAGUUUUCUAAUUCUGGAUAUAGCUCAUGAUGUUAUGAUCAUUUUUGUGCUUAGUCUAAAACUUGUCAUUUCGAUAAUGUUUGAUACUAGGGAGUAUUAUAAAGCCGAAAAAGGAAAAAAGAGACCAGGGGUAGCUCAGGAAUUCGAGGAAAGUUGAUCAACUAUAUAAAUGAAACAUUAUUUACAGAAGAUUUCCACUUCCAGCUACAUUCCUCCUGAUUGUGCAUUCAAAUUGAAGUAGAUGAAUAAAUCGAUCUAGAGAGUGUGAUUAGUGAGCCACAGAGAGGCAGAAACUAUAAACUAAUGAGUUUCAAUUGAGUUUUUCACAAUAUUGACAGACCUCAAAAACUAAGCAGUGAUAACAUAGAUGACAUUCAAUUUCUGCGCAUCAAAUAUCUCAUUGUUCAUAACGAAUUCAGGUAACAAGACUCAGACCGAUUACAAACAGUUGGUGUUCUCGUAAUCAAAACAAGUAAAAUCAAGGCUGAGGGAACACAUGAGAAACCUGUUUCUGUUCUCGUAAUCAAACAAGUAAAAUCAAGGGUGAGGGAACAUAUGAGAAACCUGUUUCUUAUCCAGACUUGGGAGGCUAAUUCAGUUUUCUCUGGUAAUGCCUCUGAGAUGUGACACUAUCAGCCUAGCAACUAUGUUACCUUGUCCACUUCCAGUUUGCCAUGGUACACAUUCAACAAUUCGGGUACACUGUCGAGAAAUCUGGUAACAAAGUUACUCAAGAAGUACUUGUCUGGCACCCUUAUAACAGUAGCCAAACUCAAGUUGUCCUCCUUGAUCAAUCCUUUCAGAAGCAAAACUUUAACAACCGAACACCUUGGUAUGAUUCUCUUCUCCAAGCUGUAGCAUAAAACAUGGGGAUAUUUUGCAAUCUUGUGGGAAUGCCAACCCAUCUUGUUCACUAAGAAAUCCAUUGUUUCCAUUAUUUUCUUCUCAGACUUGGUCAUGCAUGGUGGAAACAACUUAAAAGGCAGAAAGAAUAUCAUUAUCAGACCAAUCCCAACUCCUAUAAGCCUGUUGACAUCGUUUCCAUGUCGUCCCUUUUAAAGAUAAUGCCUGCAUAGCUUGCACAAAGCUUGACUUGUGAGGGUCAAAUCCCAAUUGUUGGACUUCACCCACAAGUUGACUGUACAAAUCAGGCUUCCUCAUCACACUAUGAGCAUAAUAUGUUAGCAACAAAGCAAUACAUGAUUCCGACAUGCCCAAUUCUCUCAGAAUCUGAGUAUUGGGUAUCACAUUCUUGGAGAGAUUUGCUCUGAAAAUCCAUGAGCUCUGCUUCCAAAUAUUGACGACCUUGACAUCAGAGACCACCACGCUUUUGAGGAAGUUAUAACAGGGUACAAUAAAGUUUUCCAAGCUUCGGUCAAAGAGCAUCGAGUUGUAGGUCGGUGUUUUUGCGAGGUCGAGCCUUGAGAUUCCUAUGGAGCAGAAAAACUCAAAGCUUUGGCAAAAGGGUUUUCUGGGUAUCGGUCAUCAGAAUACGUGGGUGUUUCCGCACCAGAGUUGAGAUUUGGGUAUCUGAGAAUUCAUACUGUCUCAAAAGGGCUAAAACAGAGUCUGGUUUCUCUAAAGAUUGAAGCUUUACCUUGUGAGAUGCUUUAAUGGCGGCUUCUGGGGAGAGAGACCACAAGAGUUGACCAGGUAAGAGACCGUGAAAUCGUCGGUCAGUGUUGUUGUACAAAACCACUGACUUUGAAGUCCUUCGAACGGGAUGCGAUAUCUGCAAAACAGACGUGAAAAUGGGUAUGACAGGGUCUUGCUGCAAAUGUAGUCGUGUGCCAUUGGAAUUUGCAACACCGAUUAGAGGGAUGGGAGGAGUCCCAAUUUCACUGCACUCUAGGCAUUUUAUUUUUUAUUUUUAAACAGAGAUGGAAAGGUUUUAAUUUUUUUUUUCACUGUUGAGAAAACAUUGAGCUUUUUAAUUUGUAUGAUACCUGAACUAUGGAACUAAUGUCUAUUGCAUUAUGGUUAUAGUUCAGGUACCAUAUAUGAGGAUUUUUCCUACAAACAUUGAGCUUUUCACAUAAUUGACCACAAAACCAAUGAGCUUUUCACAGUUUUGGUAUAGAAUGAGAGAAAUUCAUACAUCAGCUAUAUCACAUCCAACAAUUGAGGUACUUGGCCUGAGAUAUCUGUUCACAAAACCUAUCCGAAAAGUACUUCUCCUAGACAAUAUGGGAGAAUUGCACAGAACUGGCUUUCAAAAUCCUAGAGUUUAGCAUAUUAUAAACAGCAGAACCCCAAAUUUCUAAUCCGUUCUCCUGUACUUCUAGCUCCAGCACUCGGAUCAUGAACAUGUUCCAGUUUUCCUUGUCCAGGUCAAGGUCGUCACCAGCAUAUCCUUGUAUGAUUCAACUUCACCAAUAACUAUGUCAGUAGACAAUUUUCAUGAGCAAGUUACACAUAAGUAUUACAUGCCUUUGAAGUAGACGAAUGCCCAAAUGCUCAACACACUCUAUGACCAAACAAGGGUCAUUCCUUUGGGGUGCGUUUUGUAGCUCAUGCAUCUUAUGUACAAUGAAAGCAAGAUGUUGGUGCUAACUGUUUACGUAGUACACUCCUGAAUCGCAUGAUCAACCUAUGUCUUCCAGUUCUGGUCAGCCUUGCCUUCGACGUGGAAGCUUUCCUUCUCAACUGAACUGAACUACUCAACUCAUGUAAAUCUGAUCCUGAUGGGUGCUGUGUUGAAUUGAAUGUAAACCCUAAACCAAAUUCAAUAAUUCAAUAUUCACUUCAUGUGUGUAUAUAUGUUGCACUGUAAUCAUUAUUUUCAAUGAUUAUGAUAAAAAUGGGUUGGAAAUUGAUGCUUUAGUUUCUUCUUCCCUGUCUUCUAUAGACCAUUUGCAUGCCUUAUUCUUUUAUAUUUGAUAUUGGUAAAUAAAACAUGUCUUGUCUAACAGUGUUUUAGAUACCACUCGCGUGUUGCUGCGGGGUAGGAUUUCUUGAUGAUGACCAAUAUUCAAUCCUCAUUUCACGCCUCCUAUGCCAUCACCUUUUCUAAAUCUACCGCUGAUUCUCCCGUCUUUCCCUAAUUUUUCACAAACACAUCCAUCUUUCCCAAAUCCACCACCAACAUCAUGGCCUCAUGCCUGCAAAAUCCACCGCUCAUCUCCAAUUCUACCACCUCCUAUUCCGCCACCUGCACAAAAUUCACCAUCAACCCCAUAGCCUCUACCAUCAUUUUUUAAUUCCACCACCAUACCAUAGCUUUUCCCUUGCCAAAACCCACCAUGGACAGCUCUGAUCCUAUGCCCACAACCAAGUAAAAAAUAGAAAAUAAAGAAGUAACAAAUUUUCAAGGACACAAACGUCUUUUUGAUCAGAAAAAUUGAACAUUUGCAAAUAAAUUUGUAUUAAGAGGUAACACAGUCUUUUUAGUCAGUAUAAUGGUAGAUUUGUAAAUAAAUUACAUUAAAGGGUAAAAAAGAUAAGGGGCAAAAACACAAUUCACCAGAACUUGAGGGCAAAAACACAAUUCAUCAAAGAUAUAAACAGUGUUUUUCCCCUUGUUGUUUUAUUUUAUAGAAUGUUGAUGAGUGAUGACCCAAAACUCUCAAGUCAUCUACGGCCAACACAAAAGUGAAAUGAAAACAGUAGAGCCAUCUCAGACCUUAAGUCUUCUCUAUGAACUUAGACUUGAACUUUAAAAGAGCACAUAACAGCAGAUGAAGCAAUCUAACUAAAUGAUCAUGGGUAAGGUGGUGCUGGGUCAAUAUUUUUGAAUAGCUCAACCUUUAUAUGGUUUGAAGAGCAGCCUGUACCUGAUGAACACCAACAGAACUCAGAGACCCCUCACGUUUUACAUAUUAGAAAAACCAAAUUCCUUCAUGUGGCAAUGUGACAUGAAGCAAUAGACAAUGUGACAUUGCCUGAUAGGUUCAUACAACCAGUUCAAUAAGCACUCGAGAUGAUGCAAGUAUAAAGUAAUGAUUCUUGAUCAAGAUAUUUUAAGGAACAGAAAAUCAAUGCGAGAUAAAACAGGACACUUACCAUUAACUGAGAACCUCUUCAAAAAUUCCACUCCUUCCAUUUCUUCUAGAAGAGCCUCAGAGUUCAAGACUAUAAAUCCAAUUUACAGUGUCAUCAAGAACAUACAUUCUGCACAUACGCUUUGCCUUGGUACACAUCCAACAGUUGAGGUACUCGGCUGAGAUAUCUGUUCACAAACCUAUCCAAGAAGUACUCCUCCAACCUCGAAAGAACAUUAGCCAAAUUCAACUUCUCCUCCCCUAUCAAUCCUUUCAAAACCAAAACUCUAACUGAAAACCUCGGGAUGAUUCUCUUCUCCAAGCUGUAAAAAAAUCUCCAAGCUGUAAGAAAAAACAUGGGGAUAUUUUGCAAUCGUGUGGGAAUCCCACCCCAUCUUUUUCACUAGGAAAUCCAUUGUGUCCAUUGGUUUCUUCUCUGACAACAUCAUACACAGCGGAUACGCCCUGAAGGCAGAAACACAAUGAUCCUCAGACCAACCCCACCUCCUAUAAGCCUCUCGACAUCGUUUCCAUGUCUCUUUUGCAGCCAAUACAUUCAUGGCUUGCACAAAACUUGUCUUCUGAGGGUCAAAUCCCAUUUCCUUGACCUCACCCACAAGUUGGCUGAACAAUUCAGGCUUUCUCGUCACGAUACCAGCAUAAUCUGUCAGCGACAAAGCAAUACACGACCCGGGCAUGCCCAAUUCUCUCACAAACUCACUAUUCGGCACUACUUUCUUGGAUAAGUUACUUGCGAAAAUAUAUGAGCUGCGCUUCCAAGCACUGACGACCUUGACAUCAGAGACCACAACGCUUUUAAGCAUGUUAUAACAGGGUACAAUAAAGUUUUCCAAGCUUCGCAUCAAAAUAACUGGGUUGGAGGUCAGUACUCCUGCAAGGUCGAGCCUUGAGAUUCCUAUGGAGCUGAAAAACUCAAGCUUUGGCAAAAGGGUUUUCUGGGCAUUGGCGACCAGAAUAUAUGGGUGUCUACACACAAGAGCUGAGAUCUGGGUAUCUGAGAAUCCAUAGAGUUUCAAAAGCGCUAAAACGGAAUUUGGUUUCUCUAAAGAUUGAAGCUUUACCUUGGGGGAUACUAGAGUAGCGGAUUCUGGGGGCAAUCCACACGAGCGAACCAGGUAAGAGACUGUACAAUCGUCUUGGACGGGUCUGGUACAAAACAGCUGCUUCUGAAGACCAAACUGUGAAUCCAAUCCCUCCACUGGGUGCUCAUAGUUUCUAAACACACGAGCUGAUCUGAAGACCCUUUUGAAAAUGGAGAAGGCGGCCAUACUGAUACCCUACUGUUUCAGAGUGAGGAGAUUGUUAAUCCCCCGUUUGGGAACUCUUCUAUUAAAUAAGAUUUUGGAACCCUUUCAAGUAGUGCAGCAUACCCAUUGCCAGUAACAUUGUGACAAAACACAACAAGGUUAAUACUUUGCAGUUUGCCGUUCGUCUUGGAACUUAGACUCAAAACAUUCAACUCCUUUUAACUCGUUUCUUGUUGAUACAACGUAUAGGUGCCUCUGAUAAGAAAAAGAAACAAAAAGACGUGUAUACCGAGAACCUGUAUCUUCUAUAUAUAAACUUACUAGUGCAAUAUCCGAACGAACAGAAACCUAUUUAGUAUCCUCAUCAGAAUUCUCUACUCGAAUCCAACUCAAGCAGGAUGGACUAAUUUCUGGGAGAGAAGAGCCUGCAGGGAUCCAGCCUCAGCUACAGGCGGACUGCAAGUAAAGUUUUGGCAGACAAGAGCAACCACUUUGUCUGCGGCAAAAUGACUCUUUGCCAUCAGAGCGAUGUUGCUGUUUUUGUCUUCCCAGAAUUGCAUCUCUUCUGAAUUUGUUGGAUCUAUGUGAAUAACCUGUCAUUGGUUGCACAACAAAGUGGUGUUUACUAAAGAAGAUCAUAAGAUAUUCCAGAAAAACUGCAGCGUUACAACUUGCAUAAGUUCACUACUCACUGUUUUGUUGGUAUCAUAUGACGCAUGAGCUGCAGCCAGCAUGGUCUCAAACUCAUCACUUCUCUGGCCAACCAAGACAACUUGCUUCCGAGAAGGGGCAGUGAGCAUGUCAGAGGCACAACACAUUAAGGGUACUGCCAUGGCCAUGUCCUUUAAUCUCUUCUCAAAGACCGCCUGUCAACAGAACAGAAAAUGAAAGGCUCAAUAGAGAUAUAUUCCUGGAUAGUGAAUUUGUAAGAUCAGAAUUUUGGUUUACGAACCAGAACAUGUUCAGCUUCCUGUCUGUAAUGCUCAGACUUGUUGCCAGAUAGUAAGGAUGCCAGUCUCACAAGGUUGAUCACAGAAACCGAGUUUCCGGAGGGCUCUGCCCCGUCAUGAUCUUCCUUCACACGAAGGAGAACAUUGGGGUCAUCACCUGGGGUAUUGAAAUAGCCGCCUCCCUCUUUAUCAAGAAAUAUUUCAUCCUGGAAAAUAUGUCAAACAAACUCGCAUCAAGUCUAGGGAAGAAGGUGAAAACUACAAGACUUAGAGAUGGCGGAUAAUAUUUCUUGCCUGCAUUUCUUGCAGUUCAAUUGCCCAAACUAGCCAGCUGGUUUGACCACCAAAUUCAUAAAGAUCCAAUAAUCCUGAAAUAAGAAAAGCGUAAUCAUCUAAAAAUCCAGGUGCUUUAGAUGGGCCGUUCCUGAAGCUGCGUUGCAGUCUAUGAGAAUGCUCAUUGUAAAGGUGUCGCCUGAUAAAAGAUGCUGCCUUUUCUGCAACUUCAACGUACUCCCGUGGCUGACAUAUUUGUGAUGUAACACAUCAGAACAAUCAGUGAAGUAAAAAGAUGUCCACCGAUGUGACUAUCAUGGUUAACCUUACAGGCCCCCUGCCCUACGAACUGAUAAUUAUUACAUUACAUCUAAAAUGGAAAACAUUAAUUAUUAAGAAAAUGUUUUACUAAAAGAGAUUACGCCGUGAAUGUAACACUCAAAACUUCAAAACUAGUACACAAGUCCAAUUUCCCAUAAAUGAAAACGAAUUCAACACUAGGCAUUUUCCAAAACCACCAAACCUUCUUUUCCACGUAUAUUAACAACUCGUAUGACUACUAAUAAAGUGAAAGUCAGUGAAGGCUUACAUCGCAACCAACAACAGGGAAGUUAAAUUUGAUCUCCUUGGGUUCAUUCUUCAGAAUUUUAGAAGCUCUUGCAAAGGCUGAGAUGGCCAGUCCAUUCCAUGCUACAAUUACCUGGCAAAAUCUGAUUUAUCAAUUUCUGGGUGACAGAUAAAAAGAAAAGGAUAACAGAAUGAGGUGAAUCCUACGAAAAUUUGAAUUGAGAGAGUAACACCUUGUCAUCCAAAUGUGGUCUCGGUCGACUACAUCUUAUUUCAAACAGCUUUUGCCUGCUCCGACCCAGAAUAUCGAGGUAUUUCUCAACCGCCAUAGAAAAUUUUGAUGCCUCAGAUUCACUUUUUCUCUCAAUGAGCACAUUCUUACCCUUAAAUUCAUUAUGAGGAUCACUCAUUCUAGAGAGGUCACAGUUACCUGAAGGCUUUAUGUAAUAGUGGUUCUUAAAAAGUGUUGCAUCUUCCCCAAUUAUAUCUUCAACCUAAAUAGAAUCAGACACUUAAUAACAGAAAGAGAAAAAUAACACAGUAGACUAAAUAUCACUAGUGACAGAUAAAAUUCACACCAUUGAAGUAACUCUAAUGCAGACACACAGCCAAAAUUAGGGAAAUGCUAAAGUCGAUGGAGAAACCUCUUUGCUAGACCAAACAUAGAAUGCUCCUUCCUUUUUCCUAGUAGCACCUUCAGAUUCAGCACUAUCAGCAUCUUCAGCUGAAUAUAUUUCGCCUUCUAGUCCAAUCAUAUCUCUCCUCAGAUAAUCAAGAACAUCCCGAGCAAUAGAUGCAUAGAAUACAUCUUUGGUGAUAGAAAAUGCAUCUAGGAAGACAUUAACAAGUUGGCCUUGAUCAUACAACAUCUUCUCAAAGUGUGGUACUGCAACAUAACACAAUAAUCUGUUACAAAUAUGAACCAGAGAAAAGAGAUACUGGGCAUGGUGACCAUGAAACAAAUGCAUUCGAUUAAAUAAACAGGUCACUCUGCAAUCAUGCCUGUCAAGUAGAGAUUUGAUGGAAGUAAAAUUCUAUAAAAAGAACUAACCAUGCCAGCACUCAUCCACACUAUAUCGGUGGAAGCCACCUCCUACGUGAUCGUGAAUUCCCCCUCUUGCCAUACAUUGUAAGGUGAAGAGAACCUGUCUCACAACUUCAUCGGCAUUGGCAGGACUUCCAGUCUCCUCCAACUUCUUUGAAUAAUAAAGCAUCAGCUGAAUCUCAACCGGUCUAGGAAACUUUGGGGCUGAUCCAAACCCACCAAACUUCGAAUCAUAACUUUGAGAAAGCUUUAAGAAGAUCAAAUAAAUGCAAAUGCAUUAGAGCUGACUUCUUGUGCAGCAAGAGAAACAAUAAUACACGACUCAUGUUUUUCACCACAAAGUUGAAUAUACGACUCAUGUUUUCCACCAAAUAGUUUCAUUACGAGCUCCCUCUUCUUUGAAGCUUAAUGAAACAUCAGUGACUAUUUGCCCAAAACAAAAAAAAAAGGUGACCAACAUGUUUCCCAAAAUGCCCUUAUUAAAAAGUGAAGAACAGAAAGAAAGUUAUUAGGUAUGCAGCAGGUCUUUGACUUGCAACACCAAAAGCUCAUAAGUAACAGUAUGGUUCAUGGCUCGUCGCAAACAGAUAAGAAAAUUCUCAAAUAAGGCUACAUACUUGCUCAGCACAUAGACGCAAAGCAUUCUUUGGAACCCCAUCUGACAAUUUUUUAGAACUUGCACUCGUUGACAAGGCUUCUGACAACUGUUCAAUAGCAAAGGCUCCACUCUUAACAAGCGCAUCCCUCUUGGUCUCCCAGGCUUCUUUCACCUUUCUGAAGCAAAAGGUGCAGAUACAGGUAAUGCUUAGAAUCUAAUCAACAUUGAACUGUGCUGAAACUUUCAAGUGUUUGUGCCAAUCAAGAUAACCAUGGAAGGGAAGGGGUGGUAGGGAGGGGGCAGAAUUGUAAGUUAAUUGUUCAAAGACUGAACGCCUUCUCACCCAAGUAUUGUCUUAAAUCCUAGUCUUCCAUACUUGUCCUCUGGGGGAAAGUAAGUUCCACCCAUCAAAGGUUUUAAAUCUGGGGAAAGGAAUGCAGUCAGUGGCCAGCCUCCACCACCAUACAGAGCCUGUACAUAUGUCAUGUAUACCUGGAAGAAUAAAAAUGGUCUCAGCACAUCAUGCUGCUCAUAUAACAGAUGCGAAGUUGUUACUAUUUUUCUGAAAAGGGUUCUUCUCGAACAACUAGAAAUCAUUUGUGCCAGAACAAAAAGUUGCUGUGAUGAAACAAUUUUUAUUUUUUUUCAUAUGGCAGGCAUAUUAGAGCUUCUAUGGUUUUACAUAAAAUGAAGUUGAACCAGACCGUUAAUCACCAGUAAGUAUAUGUAAACUUUUAAGCACAUUACUAACUAAGCCUCAUGCUCAUGACUAUAAUCACCUUUCAUAUUGUCUCCUAAUCUUUUGGAAAUACAAAAUGCUCCUGAGAAUCUUUAAUAUCAUUAAAGAUAACAUAACAAUUAGAAAUUCAAAGACUUUUAAAAAAGAAUUCCCAAUCAUAUGUUAGGAGCUCCGGAAGGCCUACUAGUAACUUCUGGUAUUAAUGAUGGUAAUUUUCUAAGUUUAUAAUCAUGAAUCAUUCACCUUAUCCACAUCUGGUCUUUCCUCCCGGUCCACCUGCGGUAAUAGUAUGUUAGAAAAAAGGACUACAGAAUCUCACAUAAUAACUGUGAUACUGGGUAACUUGAAAAUGAGGUAAAUGAAAUAAGCAACAGAAUCAUAAUUUGACUCACCUUAAUACUAACAAACCACUCAUUCAGCAACUUGGCAAUGCCUUCAUCCUCAAAAGACUCGACCUCCAUAACAUGACACCUAAAUGACAGUUCCACACACCAAACAAAUCAGUUCCAGUUCAUUUUCCAACUUCGAAAUCCAAUACAAGUAUAAUCAACUCAAAAUUCAAAUAAGAACCCUCACCAAUGGCAUGUGCUGUACCCGACUUCACAUGUAAAAAGCAGCACACUUUGAAUGAGUAAUCAUCUAUCAAAUGCAUCACAUAAAAAAUGUCUACUUGUUCAACGCAAGAAUUAUAUAACAAUUUUUACUUGAUAAGAAAAUGGGCACAUCUCUCUUUCGAGCUUCAGCGAAAGCCUCUUCACCCCAUGGAUACCAAUCAACCUUGUAACACAAUCAAAAUCCCAUCUUUAACAUUAAAGUAAACAACUUUCAACUCAAUCAUGCCAAAAACAUAAAAACUGAGAAAAAUCAGAGAUACCGGGUUGUGGGCGUGUUGAAGGAGAUAAGGACUGUGCUCGGCAGCGAGGCGAUUGGUGUGUUUGUGGGAAGUUGGGUUCGAAGUAUGUUGGUCAGCCAUGGCAAGAACCUUGGAAGCGAAGAAGGGUCGAUGAGAAAUGAAAGAGUGAGGAAGUGGGUGUGGUUUUCUGGGUGAGGAGAGUAGUUUUGUUGGGUUUGAAGAGAGGAAGCGGUGAGUAAGCCUUUUGAGCAUAGAAUGAUGGAGAAGCAGAGAAGGGUGAGGAGGAGGAGAAGAGGAGGAGGUUGGUGAAAGUAUAGAAGAAAUUGGAAGGGGGGUAGUUGGUGGUGCUGCCAUGUGUAGGGAAGGGGUGAAGAGGAGAGGUGAAGAGUGCCAUGUGGAAGCUGAGCUUGUUUGACAGUUGGAGUGGACCUGACUGGUGUAUAGUGUUAACUAACAGGUGGCCCAGCCUUGAGCAUACAUCCAUGUUUCACAGGAUAGGGGGUAUCUAUGAGUAACGAGACAAGGUACAAACUUUUAUGGAAAUUACUCCUCCACGAUACGGUGUACAUGUGUGCAUGUUUACCAACAAGUAACAAAGAUCCUGAAAAAGGGAAAAAGUUUAAACUGUAUCUGACUUUUUAACGAAGUAAAACUUUGGUAUCUCAUUUUUUAAAAAUUUUAAAACGGUAUCCCACCUUUCGACCCCGAUAUAAGAUCGGUAUCUGGGGCUAACGGGGGAUGUUGGCUCCAUUACAGAGCUUGGCAGGUGGCAUCUUUUGCAGGGUAUUUUAGUCUGUUCAGUCUCUCCUGCCAAUUUAUACCAUAGUUGGCGCCAUGAACUUUUAAUGGGGUAGAUCGGUUUGAAUCUGUUCUUAACAGGCGACAAUGCAGCUACUCCGCGCAUAUUAGCUCUAUUUUGUCUGCUCCUUCACAAUGCAGAAGUUGAAACUAACAAAGCAAACAAUUCCUGGAGCAAAAUGAAAUCAACAACCAUCAAGUAUUUCAUAUUGCAGCAAAGCAUGUCGAGUUCCUCACCUAGUAAUACUUUAGAAGCAAGUAGAAGCACAAAACAAUAGUAAUAGUUCCUCACUCUUCUUACACUUCUUUAAUUUCUUCACCAUCUCCAAAUCCCACGAAUUACUCUUCAUCAAACCAAACCAGCAACUCACAAAUCUACGAAUCAAGAGAUAAAACUUGUCUAACCUCAACGCGUCGAUGCCGGACCAUUCGCGGCGCAUGGUGAGCAGAAACACCGAGAAGUACUAGACGGCGAGAGGGAGGUGGAGGUUGUGGAGGAGAGAGGAGAGGCGAUCGAUGAGCUGGGCCUGGGCGGGGGCCUUGUCGGCGUGCCACAUGCAGUAGAAGAGGCCUUUCCAGAGCUUCCUCAUGUCGUCGUCGGAGAGGUUGAGCUGGGUGGGGAGCCAGGUCUUGAGGAGAACCCUAAGGGCACGGCCGCGGCUGCCUUGGUUGCACGACGCGAGUUGCUUUAUGAGAGCUGGGCCGGAUUCCGAUGCCAUUUCGGCGUCCAUUUUGGCUGCGUGUAUUUCCUAUUGUUUUGUGCUUCUACUUGCUUCUGAAGUAUUACUAGGUGAGGAACUUGACAUGCUUUGCUGCAAUAUGAAAUACUUGAUGGUUGUUGAUUUCAUUUUGCUUCAGGAAUUGUUUGCUUUGUUAGUUUCAACUUCUACAUUGUGAAGGAGCAGACAAAAUAGAGCUAAUAUGAACGGAGUAGCUGCAUUGUUGCCUGUUAAGAACAGAUUCAAACCGAUCUACCCCAUUAAAGGGUCAUGGUGCCAACUAUGGUAUAAAUUGGCGGGAGAGACUGAACAGAUGAAAAUACCCUGCAAAAGAUGCCACCUGGCAAGCUCUGUAACGGAGCCAACAUCCCCCGUUAGCCCCAGAUACCGAUCUUAUAUCAGGGUCAAAAUGUGGGAUACCGUUUUGAAGUUUUUGAAAGGUGAGAUACCAAAGCUUUGCUUCGUUAAAAGGUCAGAUACGGUUUUGACUUUUUUCCCUCCUGAAAAAGAUAGGUAAGAAUGACAAUACAUUUAUUUGAGUGAAAUUCUAUAUAAGUUUGAGUCUUAAUAUUGACAAGUUUCUUAUUAGUAGGUUUACUGAGUAAUCGGGAUCUACGGGACUUAUAUAAUGUUGGUAAAAAUUGUUAACAUCUAAAUCUAAAGAGUUCGGGUUAUCAAUAGUUCAAGUCAUCAUAAGGUCUGACUGUUGAAUGUCUACAGACAAUAAGGUGAAAAACCUUGAGCCAACAAGAUAUAUAUAUAUAUAUAUAUACACACACACAAUGUUGAUCAGGUGCGGACGUCCGCACUAAAGUUUUGUUGCGGAUUUCUAUUUUUGCACCACUUCCUGAUCGAAUUUCCUCAAACUUCUUUCUAGACAUAUCUAGAUCAUCUUGUGUAGAUCAUCUCUGCAAAAUUUCAACCAAUUUGGUGAUCGUUAAGGCCCUCAAACUCGAAAACAAAUGGACUGACUGAAUUCUGUCCGGUUGUGUUCAUACCAGAAAAACUCGAGUUUGAGGGCCUUAACGAUCACCAAAUUGGCUGAAAUUUUGCAGAGAUGAUCUACACAAGAUGAUCUAGAUAUGUCUAGAAGGAAGUUUGAGGAAAUUCGAUCGGAAAGUGGUGCAAAAAUGGAAAUCUGCACCAAAAACUUUAGUGCGGACGUCCGCACCUGAUCAACAUUGUGUGUGUGUGUGUAUAUAUAUAUAUAUAUAUAUAUUACCUCUCUCAUGUGAACCAAGAUGUUAGUUGGGUUACUGACACACGGUUCAUAAUGUUUUUGAGUUCGUCGGCAGCCUCCCCUUAAUCCAAUUUCCUUUCAUAUAAAAAGAGGGUUCACCUUUCAGAUUGAUAUAGUACAAAAAUAAAGAAAAAUUUAAUUGUAAAAAUUAUGAAAAUGUCAUUUUUGAAAAGUUAUAAAAAGGUUAUUAAAUGUCGACUAUGUUCUCUGUAAUAUAUAAAUUGAUACACUACCACAGUGCCAUCCUCCCUAGUCCCGAACUAGUCUAGACCUAUUCCCUCUCUUGUUUCUAAGCUCUUACAACAUGGAACACUUUUAGAAGCUUUGUUCGUGAAUUCAGCUAACCACUAGCUGAUUCAACCUUGAACGCUUCUUGGGUUGGUUGCACUACACAUCCCUCAUGGUAUGCAACAUGAUAUGAGUUGAUGAAAUAAGUUUUGAGUUCAAGCUCUAAGGUUUACAGUCACGAAGAAGACUUAGAGCAGCAUGAACAAUGCAAGAUAGAACUAGACUCAACAAAGAAAACGCAAUAAGGCAGUUUUCAACAACCAUUGAGCAAAGCCAAUGCUAUAGAUAUAUAUAUAGGCAGACAAGGCAUCAAAGAUGAUGCAAGCUAACCUCUACAUGUUUCAGAAAGGUUUGGACAAAAGUGUUUGGUUCCCCAUACUGAAAGUGAUGUAACCAAAUGGAGAGUUGACACAAGCAACCUCAAUAAGACAAAGAUACCUUUCUAAAACAUGAACGAUUCCAAACAGGGAGCAAGAGGUUUGAAACCCUCUUACUCAGUCCAUCAGUGGACCUUGACACAGCCGAUAGCGACUGGUCUUUGAAUCACACAGAGACCAGCUUUGUAUUGGAUAAUGUAUCAUAAAAUCCAAGCUGGAGCCUUGAGCAUCAAACCAUUUGGUCACGGGUUGGCAUAACAAAAGAUCUCAACCCUUAGACUGGUUUGAGCGCCAAAGCACUUCUCACAAACUCAGUUGUCCAUUUGAAUUUGAAAGACUUAUUAAACUAAUAUAACAGACUUUGAAACUCAGGACAGCAGAAGACUCAAUACUAGGAUAGCAAGCGAGGCUGCUAACCUCUGUGAAAAACAAUGAUAUGCAGAUGCAUGUUUUACCUGAAACCAUAAGGGAUAUUAGUGCCACUUGUUCUUGAUCAGACAACAGCAUCUUAAGGUGUUUUACAGGAUAAAAAGGAUUGCCAACUAUCCUUAUACCUUCAGAAAUGAUUGUUUUCAACUCAGUCAACAUGUUACCGAUCAAAGUAAGAUUCUGACAACUAAAACCUGGUUUUAAUUAGCACUUACAAUUUUGCUCUUAGCAACUGAAAAGCACGAUGCUUGUUCUGAAGUUGAGACCUCUCUUCGAUCACUACAGAAGAUGCGGAUGCCAGUUGGCUUAUGGACAAGAUCAACAGCUGUCUCCACCUUGUUGACAUUCUGCCCUGCAUGACAAUGUUGCAUAUAUAUAAAGUUGUGGCAUACAAGGAAGUCGAUACUAAAAAAACAAAAAAUAAUAAUAAAAAAUAAAAAAAACCUAUAUCGAUCCAAACUUCAUCAGAUGGUGUUUUCCUCGUCCUGUAAUUCCUUAUCUAUAUAAAUUUGGAAAUCCCUAUAAUCCCUUGUUCUAAAUUUGAAUUCCACCGGUAAAAGAAUGCAUAUGUGAUAUGUGUUCUAUAUAAAGCUAGCCCAUGGUAGAGUAACUCGUUAUUUAGGUUUCGCAGCAUAUAUAGCAUCUGAUCUACCCUCGGAAGGAGAAUCUGCACCUUAAUAAUAAUGACAUAUUUACCUUCAACAAUGGCUACUCCGGACCGCCCCAACGAACCCCCGACCACCCUCGGACAGAGAAUCUGCACCUCAAUUUGCCUCUUUAUUCUAUUAACAGUCGUUUUUGGAUUGAUUGGUUGGCUAAUCUAUACGGGGAACAUAAAGCCUUCAUCCAUACAUUUCGAGGUCGAAUCCGCCACCGUCUCACAACUCAUCACAGAAGGCAGCUCCUUGAGCGCCACGUGGGACAUUACUCUCCUCGUCGGUAACCCUAACCGCAAAUACAAAAUGUGCUUCGACCACGUCCAGGCAGGGGUUCGCUACCACUACGUCGGUGACAUCGUAAUCGAGCUAGGGAGUACGCCUACAUUGCCAAUUCACUUUGCUUUGAAACGGAUGAACCAAACACACGUACCUCUUGGUUUAAAGAUAGGAGUGGAGAGGCUGUGGAUCGGCGAUGCCGUGGCACAACAAAUCUCCAACGACAGGUCUCGCGGGUCGGUGACGUUUGCUGUUACAGUGGACGCUGUUGUGAGGUUUAAGGCUGUGCUAGCGCCUGUAGAUGAGUAUCGGCUUAGGUUUACCUGCGAUCAGGUAGCUUUUGCGUUUUCCGGGAAUAAUGGUACCGGCAUAAUGACGAGUCAGCUUUCGUGCUCAGUGUUGAACACAGAAUCUAACACAGAAUCUGAAUCUUGGGGUUUUAUUUUCUGAUGAUACAAAUAUAGAGGGCCGGAUAAUAACUUUGUUUAUGAAUGUUGGCCAUUAGUUUCGUAAGUUUUUUUUUUUUUUUUUUGUAAUUAUUGGUUAGCUAAUAGGUUUGGUAACAGAUUGGCUCGUGUUGUUAUAAUAGGUUUGUUUAUUAAUGAUAUGAGUAAACCUUCUUCCAAAAAAAAAAACCAAGAAAUCCCAUUAGUAGCUACAAUAUUGCUCUUUUCUUAACCAAUCACUCCAGUAUUGUCAAGCUAUUGGAUUGUUGUUUGGAGACUGAUGUCCCCAUACGGGUUUAAGAGUUAAUCACAAAUGUGACUCUUUCAACCCAUCUUCACCCGUCCUCAAGCAGACAGUCGUGAAAAAUCUGCCUUAAAAUUGCCAAGGAAGUUGCGGCUGCACUUGCAUACUUGCAUUCCAAGACUUCUAUGAGUUCUAUAUCCCUAUCAUACAUAAGGCCUAAGAAUAAAUUCAGGGUUUUGAUCCAACUAGUCAGAAUGGGAUUCAAUAUUACAUAUCCAAAUGGGAUAUGAGCUCAGCUAUUCUUCAAAAUAAAUAAAAAAUAGAGAAAGAAAAAGAAAAAAUUGAAACCGUUUUCUCCAUAGCACAUUUUCCGGAACAACAGUGUGUGAAUCUUACAACAAUAUAGGCUUCAGAUAGUUUGCUAUAGGGCUGGGCACGGGACGGGAAUGCGUUUUUAAAAAUCUGUCCCGUAUGUCCCGAUUCCGACAAUAAUUUUUUCAAGAACAAAUUAAUUGAUAUCAAACACCAUCACAGGUGGAAAAACGGGUUGAGAAACUCCAAACAUUCAAAUGCUCCACCAAAAUUGAUCAGUGUUUGAAAUUUUCGACAUUUUUAUGCUGUUUGGAACAACAUUAAUGAAAUUAAUGGAAAAAAAAAUCCAAAAACACAUAAACAAAAAAAAGAACAUUGAUGAAAUUAAAAGUACUAAAAUCAACAAGAACAUAGGUGCAUAGGUGCUAAAUUACAUCCCACUUUAAAAAUACUAAACAUCCCACAUUAAAAAUUAACCCUCAAACAACAACUAAAAAUAUCCAAAAUCACAAAAAAAAAAAAGAACAUGAAUGAAAUUAAAAGUAUUAUUUUAGACCAAAUUAAGUGUGGUUGAGUUCAUUGUAACAUCAUGCAACCUCAAAAAUCAAGUAUAAAAUAAAUAAAAUCAUGUAUUCUAAUAUUAUGGGACAGGACGGGAUUUUUCGGGAUAGUACCGUCCCGUCCCGUCCUGUUAUGGUAAUGUUAAAACAGGACGAGAUUGCUAUUUUCAAAACCUAUCCCGUCCCGUCUCGCUAACUUUCGGGACGGGACCGGUACGGGAUCGGGAUUCCGGUACUAAUUGCCCAGCCCUAGUUUGCUAUUACCCAGCUGGAGCUCCUGCAGAUUCAGCAAGUUCUUCCAGGAGUUCCUUUUGCUCCAAGGAUGUAACUGCUUGCAAAAAAGCAGGAAAAUCAAUUGCAGCGUAAUUUCUAACUUAAAAUUUCAUGCACCUCUAUCCUUCUACAUGUAGUAUGCAACUAUCGAUGAAGAAAAUGGACAAGUCUUAAGCAGCCAGUCAAAUUCAUUUAUUUACCAACACUGUACUGUCAAUUAAUAAGCCAUUCUAUUGAUACAAAUGUUCUCACACUACGUCCUUUUUGGCUUCAGACGACAGAAGACGUUUAGUCUGUCGUCCCGAAUAUUGUAACGACAGACAUUUAAAAGAGUGUCGUCUGAAAAUAGCAACUCAAUAGUAGUUAAAAUUAACGUGUUUUUGAGACGACAUACGUUUGUCGUUCAAAAAACAAGGAAAAAUGUACCCUAAUGUUACACUUAUAAGACGACAGAAAACUGUCGUAUGGUGAAGAAACUUAAAUGUGUCUGAAGCUGUUUUUUUUUUUGGUCAUAAUUGGAGGAGUUUUUUUGACACUUAAAACCAACUCUCAUUCUCUCAACUCCCCCGAUACUUUUCUUUACUUUUCUCAACUCUCUUUUCUCUCUCUCAGUGUUCCUCACCCACAUAACCAAAAUCUCUCUUCCUCCUCCCUAAAAACCAAAUUCUCUCCUCUUCACAUUCUCAAAUUGAUCGAAUCCUCUCCUCUAUCUAAUACCCUAAAACUAAUUUCUCUCAUCUAGAUCUGGAGACCCAGAUCUACCCCAAUUUCAACCUCCCAAACCCUAAAUCUCCAAACCCUCGCAAACCAUAUUCACCGUUAAGGCCACCACCCGGAAGAGGCGCGCGGCCAAGCCCGACCAAGCCAAGUCGGCCAACGUCAAUCUCAAUCUCGACCUUUCCAGGUUUUUUUCUCCGCCGUAACGACAGCGCUGUGGUGAGAGGAGAGUCCAGGAUGGACGGGGUAGAGGAGGACCUUGGUGACGAUCUCGUUGGUGGUGGGAUCGGCGAGGAAGUCGACAGUGGCGAUGCGGUAGAGAAUGAGGGGCUUAGAGAGAACACGAGGGGAGAGAAGAAGCGGAGUUGGUGGAGUGUUCGAGGUGGCCUUGGGGGAAGUAGCAAACCCUAGUAUGGAGGGUGGGGAUGGUGACGGAGUUGCCGGCGCAGGCUCGCCAGAUUUUGGGGUCGAUGGAGACGAGCUGCAGGGGAGGCGGCGGCACGUGGGAGUGAGAGAGACACUGAGAAUUGGAAGACAUGGUGAUUGGGAUUUAGAGAUUGGAGGAAGAAGAGGAAUGAAAUCUCUCUCUUUCUCUCUCUUUCUUCUCCAGGUUUUGCUAGGUUUCCAAUGGCCACCAUUCCAGGACAGUUGAUCUGGGAGAUCACCAAGAAGGAGGAACAAGCCUGCGAGCUUGGUUCACAAGUCUGUGAUGAGGAAGGAAUUCCCUCGCAUGGCCAAGGCUGUUACUAAUCAGGUACCAACAUGCUCGAUUUACAAUUCGUUGUUUUGUUGAUGCAUAUGUGUUUUGUGGAAUGUUAUGAAUGAGGAUAGGUCGACUUGAGUUUUGUGGAAUUCAUCUUCCACCACGACUGUUGGUUUCUCCAUCUAUAUCAUUGGCUAUGUAACCCAGACAAGACUCCAAAGGUCAAGAUUCUUAAACUCUUUGUUAUGAGUUUGUUUCUAGUAACAUAAUCUAUAUUUUAUGUAAACACAUUAAUUAAUUUUCAUUAUCCAAAGUUCCAAACCAUUACGUAUACAUUUCUCUGAUUCCCUAACAUAUUCAUUUGAACUUUGUUAGAAUGAUAUAUAUGAAUGGCUAGCGGCUACGUACAUUCUUCCUCCGGUUCGCAUUGGCUAUCUACUUCGGUAAUAUCAUCCCAAAUGUAUCUGGUGUGAGGAAGUCAGUGUUCUACUUUUUAAAGCCAGGAUACUGGAUAGGGAAAAGUGGAAACAAAGUGGAAGGUAAAAAUACUGAAAUUCAGUAUCUGCUCAACUUUCCUUUCUAAGUUGUACUUAUGAGUUGUACUUAUGAGUUGUGACUUGAUACUUUUGUGUUCCUCUAGCUCUCUUUGGGUAGAGGGUGGUGUUUGUAGUUAGAUAGGUUCAAUUCCACCACCUGAGCAUACUGGUCCUGAUGAUGAAGAUGUCCUGGAAGAGGAGAACAUUGUCAAGGAGCAAGCUAAGGAAGGCACAGUUGGUCUAAACCUUGCAGUUUAAAUACGCGUUCUUGUAAAAACAUAUCCUAGCAAAAAACACAGUCGUUGUUGUUCCAAGAGCAAGAGGACUCCACCAUACCAUGCUCUUAAGGUACAUAACCUAUUUUGACUCGUUAAGAGAAUGUGGAUCUUAUUAUGAACCUGUUGUUCGUGUGGAGCAAAAUCUGGUGAAAUAGUCUAUUUAGAUUAUUCAUUCGAUGCAUCUUUGUCUAGCAUUUUGUACCUAGACUAUGAGAUCCUCUAGCAGAAUAUUAUGUCUUCAUCAAAUAGAUGCUCAGGCAUAUAUACCUCUUUGCUAAUUUUUAGGUGGAUAGGUCGACUGGAGUUUAGUUAUUUGUUCUUCUUUGGACUUGCUUUGUUGGCCAUAAUGCUUGUCGGUCUUAAUGACUUUAUGCAAGUAUAUGCAGUGCCAUAUAGUGAGAUGCCUCUUCUUUUUGACCUCUGUUAGUUGCUCUCUGCAUAUAAUAUGACCUGGACUAGAAAAUUGAGGUAUUUCUUAAUCGUGGUAUACUGGUAUUUCUCUGCAUAUAAUAUAACCUAGAUGCCUAGUGUAAUUUUAUGAUUGCUGCUAUUAUCAUCGACCUCAACUCCAUUGGUUUAUUUGGGUGAGUUUAUUUUACUGCUAUUGCCUUUAUGAUCAUCAUUUAAUUUAACUGUAUUUAACUUUGGUUCUUAUAUUCACUGUCAUAGAAGUACAUAGGUCUCAUCAAGUUAAGAUCCAGCAUUGGAUAUUGUAGGUACUGUAUCAUAAAUAUUCUUUGCAUGAAUGCAUCAUAAUGUUCAGAUCUUACUUAACUUCUUAUUGCUAACAUUUAAUUGUUUAUUGACAUAUACUCAUAUUAAGUUAAGAUCCAGCAUUGGAUAUUGUAGGUACUGUAUCAUAAAUAUUCUUUGCAUGAAUGCAUCAUAAAUGUUCAGAUCUUACUUACUUCUUAUUGCUGAAAUUUAAUUAUUUAUUGACAUAUACUCAUAUUGAUUCACUAAAGUUCUUUGUCUUCAAUGUUGCAGGUGACACUUGAAUGAAUGGUGCAUAUUGAAGUUUGAUGAGUAUGAUGAAAGUAUCAGAGUGCCUUAGUGCAGUUAGGACUUAGGAGGACUUUCUGCACACCACCAUAUUGUAGUUGCUAUUAUUUGGUUUGAUAUAUUUUUUAUUUUAUAGUUUAUGGGUCCCUUUAGAACAAAUAACUCUUUGUAAUUUGAUUGGUUUUGGCAAUGAGAAUGAAUUUGAGAUUUCUGAAUCAUGUUGUGCAAAUGCUUUAUUAAAUUGUCAUCCAAAUUAAAAUCAGACAACAGAUAUCCCCAUGGACAUCGACGUCUCUACAUAUUUCAAAUGACAUUUAUAUGUCGUCUUAAAGUAAAAGAUGACCAUAGUGUAUGUCGUCUGAGGUAAGUAUCAGACGACUAUUAAGUGACGUUUGAAUGCAUUUGAGUCGAGAGAAGAGGUUUGACGUAUGUCGUCUGAGAUAUAUUUAGACGACAAAAUAGUAACAUGUGAAUAAGUUUGAGACGAGAGACGGCUGCUCACAUCUUUAGUAUUACUUUAGUUUCGACGAUACUUUUAUGUCGUUAAGAAGCUUUCUAACGACAGAAACUUUAAUUUUGUUACGAAUGUAGGUGCAUACAGACGACAGUUGCUUAUAUACAAUCUGUCGUCGAAGUGGUAUCAAACGUCUAACGAGGUCUGUCGACUGAAUGCUUAUCAAAUGACUGCUUGAUAGACGACAGCCGAAAAAACAUUCAGACGACCAACCUGGCAGGUCGUCUGAAGCCAAAAUUGACGUAGUGUCAUUCUAUACCCUCUUCACAAAAAACCAUAUAUGUGAUGCAAAUGUUCACACCAAGGUAUUAGUCAUAUGCAUCUUAAAUAGUUUCUAAGCUAAACGAGUAACAGAUACCUGUGAUUUCCGUUGAUUCUGAAUCAGUUCCUGCUGCUCUCUCUCAGUUUUAUCUUAUAUGAUCUGUAAAUGAUCAUUUAUCAUCAGAACUGCACCACAGAAAAGGCGGGUGGAAAGUGGAAACAAGACAUAUAUGUCUGAAAGAAAUGAUUGUUUCCAACUCAGUCAACAUGCAUGUUACCAAUCAGAGUAAGAAUCUGAGGACACAUAAAACAUAUGGUUUUAAUCAGCACUUACAAUUUUUGUAUUGGCUAAGCAUGCAUUGAUGCAUAUAAUUCGCUUUUAGUUUAGGGGUACCAUAAUCAAAAUUUGUAACUUAUCAAUGUCUUACUACUGAUGGAGAGCAGGUAUGAGCAUCAUGGUGCUCCUUGUAGUAGGUUUUAGGAUUUCCAGGGCAUUAUUGAACAGAAAUUAAACUAGUCCAACCGAUCAAAAGAGAGUUCUUUAAACAGAAGGGGUAGAGGAAUGAUUUUAAAUAAUUUUACUUACGGGGCGAGGAGAUGACAGACCUACGUACGUACUUUGAACAAAUCCAACUUGAAUCCUACCAACCAAGCUAGAAAACUUGUUCAUAUACGUUCUGGAUUAUGUUUUUGAUAUCCAAACUUCAUCAGAGCUAGGUUGCAUUUCCUCAGCGUAGUAUAAUUCCUUAUCUCUUCUAAAUUAGAAUUCCACUGUAAAAAAAUUUCACACUCACUCCGGAACAAUGCAUAUGUGUACGUUCUAUAUAAAACUGGCCCAUGCAUGGUAAAGUAACUACGUUAUUUAGUUUUCGCAGCAUAGUAUCUGAUUCAUCUAGCAUAUAUACCUUCAAUAAUGGCUAUUCCGGUCAGAUCGGCCGCCAUCCCAUCCGCGCCUCCCUUUCCCCAUCCAUCCCUACCGGACCGCCCGUGCACCACCUUCUGCUACUUAAUACGAUGCCUAGUAAUAACCCUAGUUGUAGUUGGAGCCGGCGGUUGGCUAAUUUAUUUAUGGAACUGCCACCGUCUCCCAACUCAACACAGAAGGCAGCACCAUCAGCGCCACGUGGGACAUUACUCUCGUCGCCGUUAACCCUAACCGCAAAUUCAAAACCUCCUUCGACCUCGUCCAUGCAGGGGUCGGCUACUACUACGGUAACACCGUUAUCGAGCUAGUGAGUACGCCUAGGUUUCGAAGACACUUUGCUUUGAAAGAGAUGAACCAAACACGUUUCGAUUUCAAGAUAGGAGUGGAGAGGCUGAUGAUCGGCGAUGCCGUGGCACAAAAAAUCUCUUACGAUAGGUCUCGAGGGUCGGUGAGGUUUGCUGUUACAAUGGACAUUUUACGGGUGAAGUUUAAGGCUACGCUAGCGCCUACACUAGAAGAUCAGCAUCGGGUUGGGGUCACCUGUGAUCAGGUAGCUUUUGAGUUUUCCGGGAAUAAUGGUACCGGCGUACAGACGAGUCAGUCUUCGUGCUCUGUUUAUUUUGAUUGACAAUUAGUAUAGGUAUGGUAUGUGCUCGAUCAUUGGUUUGAACCAAUUUUCUUAGUUUUGUUUGAUUUUUUAAAGGUAGGAUGCGUCUAUUGCCACCCCACAAACCAUUUUACUCACCUCACAUUCUUUUCACAUCUCACUCAUAUAAUUUUAAUUACAAGUCUAUUUUGUUCACCCAUUAACAAUACCUAAAAUACCCUUUUAUCAAUUCUACUUUGUUCAUCCUAGCUACAUUAUCUUCUCACCCUACAUAUAUUUUGAUAUAUUUUAUCAAAUUCCGAUUCGCUGAAGGUAAGUAAAAUCACCAACUGAACAAAAAAAAUCACAUUAAAAUAUAAAUCCCAGUUAAAGAACAAGAAAAAACUCUCAAAUUUAAUAACUCAAUAAUAUCAGUCGAUAUCAUAAUGCACAAUGUCUGUAAAUGUAUCUCUAGUAGCAACGUUUUCCAUACUUUUGAGUUCUUUAACUGAUCUAUGUGUUGUUCAUAAAUAAGGUACAGUAGUUGUCCAUGGGAAUUUAGAUACAAAGUCAACAUAAGAAAUAAUGAGUAAAUUGAUAGACAAAUCACCAACAAAGAAAAAAAGAAAAAAAAGAAACACAAAUAGUUUACCUCAUCUUCAGGUUAAAUGUUGGUGUCUUCAGACUCACAACCGAUGAUAAAUUUAGGUUAAAGUUUAUGAAGUUUGUGUUCAUCUAAAACAAAAAGAUAAAAAAAAAAAAUUGUAAUUUGUAACAAUUUAUUGUCCCUUGCUGUAAUUUUACAUCAGGGUAUUUUAGUAUUUCAAUAAAUCAACAACAUGUGAGGUGAGCAAAGUGGUUUGUGAGGUGGUAAUAGACGCACCCUUUUUUAAAUUGAUGACGGGUGACAUGACAUGUCACAUAAGAUUAAAGUCAUAAAUCUUAAACCUUAUUAAGGCCCUCUAACCCAUUAAUAUAUGUUCCAUCGUUUGUUUGAACCAAGUUUCUUUUCAUGUUUGGUCCAAGACUCCAAGCACAAAUAGUCCUUGUUUAUGAUUUUUUUUAUUUUUGGCAACUUAGCAUACACAUGGUAUGUGUUGGUUUGAACCAAUUAUCUUAGUUUCGUUAGUUUUUUUUUUUAAUGAGUGGUUAGCUAAUAGGUUUGUUACACAGUUGAGCACUGUUGGCUCAUGUCGCCGUAAUAAUUAGUAUUUUAUUAAUGGUAUGAGUAGACCCUCCAAAAAAGAAAAUUGCGAUUAGUAGCUACAUUACUCUUUUCCAAAUCAAUCACUACAGUUUAAGAAUGGGACUCUUUCAAGCCAUCUUCACUCGUCCUCCAAGUAAAAUGGGACAGUCGUGAAAAAUCUGCCUUAAAAUUGCGAAGUUGCAGCAGCACUUGCAUAUACUUGCCCUCCGAGAGUUCUAUGAGUUCUAUCCUUAUCAUACAGGAGUUUGAUCCAACUAGUCUCAGUCAAUAUUCAUCUGUCUUAUAAAUUAUAAUCAUCUUGAUUUGGAUUAUGAACUAUAAUUUAGGUGCCUCAUGAGUUUGAUCUUUACAGAUAAUGGGAUUCCAAAUGGUGCCUCAGCAUUUUCUACCGGAUUAUGGUGGUAGGCGAAGCAAAUUUUAUGAUACUCCCUUGCUCCACAAUGUGGUGUAUAUAUGCUUGUUUUCUUCAUCUUUAAUGAGGAUUCUGACGAUGAUCGUCAAGAAUCGGAAGGCAUGCUUGAGUGGAACUCCACAUAAGUUCGAGCCCCAACAUGUACAUGUCCCUUUAUUAGUAGCUUGCUAAGUACUAUGAACCUGCAAUGACCCAUAUGACGUUGGUAAAACGUGUCAGAUCUAAAGAGUUUGGGUCAUCACGAGACCCGACUGUUGAUUGUAUGCGGACUUACAAUGUGAAAAAUCUCAACAAGAUAUAUUACUGCUCUUAUGUCAGUUAUGUGGAAUCGGCUUGAAUCUAGAUGUUAGAUGAUUUAUGCCUCCUCCAAAUCUAAAUAACCAAAAAAAAAAUUUUUAAAUAUGGUACAAAUUUAUAAAAAUAAAUAAAUAAAUAAAUAAAAAAUGAAUUCAAAACAUGCCAUUUCUGAAAAGUCAAAGUUGCUGAAUUUCAAACGAGUUUCCAGUACUCUAGCUAUUCACUUUUCAUUAGAUGAUUAUCAAAUUUGCCAACCAGCAAAUUUGAUGACCAACAAUGACCAUCCAAUCAAGAGAGAGAGAGAGAGAGAGAGAGAGAGAGAGAGAGAGAGAGAGAGAGAGAGAGAGAGAGAGAGANNNNNNNNNNNNNNNNNNNNGAGAGAGAGAGAUGAGUGGUUGUGAUUUGAUGGUCAUGGUGGUCAUCAAAUUUACUGGUUGGCAAAUUUGAUUCCAUUGAAAAUGUAGUCUUAUCAAUUCCCAAAAUUGAAAUUUUGUUACAGUGGUUUUGAACCCCAAGACAAUCAAAAAGCGGAAACUCAACUGUUUGCAGCGUCGAUCUAUCAAAAAAAAAAUGUUUGCAUUGUUUUUUUUUUCGAUUAAGAAAAUGUUUGCACUGUUGAACCUGAAAUUUUGUUAUGAGAUCGAGUGUACUAACUCCCUGCUUAGAUAACUAUUGCAUUAAAUCUUCAGAAGAGAAGUUGAUUCAACAACUGAGGUGAUCUAUUGCCUCAUAGAUAACUACAUAAACUAACAUCAACAAUGAGUUCGUUCAUGAUGUUUUUGUCAUUCUGUGUCAUGACCCAUGCCCAGUGUGGAAGGCAAAAAUACUCAAGUAAUAAACGUUCUUAUCAUGUCUUAUUGGGCUAGAAGUAGAACAUGCAUUUUGUAUGUAAUUUCAGUAUGUCACUCAUUUUAACGAAAUUUUCAUCUCAUAAAUAACAUAGAAACUUAGAAAGAAAGAAAAGAGAAACUAUGACUUGAUCGAGGAGAAUUGAUCGAAUAUAUACCAAUCUGUGACCGAAAAAUCUUGGUUCAUAUUGCUCGCCUUUGAAUUUCAUUAACAAAAACAAUGAAAAUGAUGAGUGACAACCCUAUAUAACUAAUACAACUGAACUAUAAACGGACAAACAUCUUAACAAAAUAUUCCAAGAACAACAGAGAGGCUAGCUAGCUAGGGGUUCUAACGAUGAAUUGAUGAAAGAAUCCCAAAGUAACAAAUUAAAAGAUGAACUUGUUCUUCCCGAGCUUCUGGAAUUUGUCGCAUCCCAGCAUAUGCGGGACCAACGAACAAGGAAUUACGGCGAUAUGUCGGAGAUCCGGAACGCGCGGUUUGAGAGGCUCAUCCUGCAUCUGCAUCUGGGUCAGACCUCCACGUCUCGCAGCGAAGUGUUGCACGCGUUCUUGAUCUCGUUUAACAAACCUUGUGAUGAGGAGGGCGUCUUGAGCGUCGUCGGUUGGGUUGGAGGAGAAGGUUGUGCUUCCAUUAGCAGUUGAUAUGAACAAGGUUGCGAAUAGAAAGCACAGAAGAAGGCAUGGUACUACUGCUUUAUUAGCCAUGGCAGAGAAGAAGAAAGUAUGUUUUUUUUUUUUCGGGGUGAUCGAAUUGUAUAUAUAGGGCUUUGGAAACUUGAGAUGCAAGAAUACUAGCUAGCUAGGUCUCCCAACUCUUAUAGGAUUAGGUUUGUAUAAGCGGCCCUACCUAGUUUUCUUUUAUAUUUGCCAACUUGAAUUCCUUUUCCCAAAUUAAAACUUGUUCGUAAACAACUUGGACUCGUAAUAAAACUGAAAGUUCACGAACUGCGUGUGUCUAGCCCUGUGACAAAAGCUUGUUUCCGGGAGGCCCCCACGAAAAUAGAUGGGUAGAAUCUGCUAUGGGGACGCCGUCCGACUACUUUUACAUCUCAAGUAAGUUAAACAUGAUCACUAUUGUUGGUUGCAAUGCAAGCACGAUGAUCAUUACCGGCACCCCUAGUAAUUUGAGCAACAACAUUGCAGAUUUGCCUCGACUAUUGAGUUGUUGUUCGGAGACUGAAGUCCAAAUGGGACUCUUUCAAGCCAUCUUCACUCGUCCUCAAGCAGACAGUCAUGAAAAAUCUGCGGUUAAAUUGCAAAGGAAGUUGCAGCAGCACUUGCAUACUUGCACUCCCAGACUUCUAUGCUCUAUCAUACAUAAUGCCUACGAAUAAAUUGAGGAGUUUGAUCCAACUAUCUCGGUCAAUAUACAUCUGUCUUAUAAUCAUCUUGGUUUGGAUUAUGAACUAUAAUUUAGGUGCCGUGCCUCAUGAGUUUGAUCUUUACAGAUAAUGGGAUUCAAAAACUACAUAUCCAAAUGGGAUCUGAGCCUCAGCUAUUCUUCCCAAAAAAAAAAAAUGAGAAAGAAAAAGAAAAGAAACGGUUUUCUCAUAACAGAUUAUCUGGAAGAACAGUGUGAAUCUUACAACAAUUAAUGUAGGCUUCAGAUGGUUUUCUAUUACCCAGCUGGAGCUCCUACAGAUUCAGCAAGUUCUUCCAGAAGCUCCUUUUGCUCCAAAGAAGUACAGGCCUGCAAAAAAGCAGGAAAAUCAAUUGCAGCGUAAAGUCUAACUUAAAAUGUCAUGAACCUCUAUCCUUCCUACAGUAUGUAUCAAUGUAGAAAAUGGAAACAUCUUACUAGAGAAAUACCUGAAUUGCGUUAUCUAUAUCACCACCAAGAAAACCGGUGAGCUCAUAGUUUAUCUUCAACCGGUGGUCAGUGACUCUAUUGUCCUGAAUCAAUAAACAAAAGAGUAAAUAACUUCCCCAAACGUAACAACAUAAUCAUGAAGAGAUUUUGUACACACUAGUCUCAUACAGGUUAGGCUAAGUUCACAAAAUUACUUGACCAGACUGACACUUGUUUAAAAACUUUAUACAAUUAUUGGGACUCUAAAUCUAAUAGUUGAAACCUUUUGAAUCAGAUAGUUUCUUAAGCAGCCAGUCAAAUCAAUUUUUUACCAACACUAUAUUGUCAAUAAGCCUAUCUUCGAGACUUCAGUGGCAGUAAACUUAAAAUUGAUGACAUGAGAAAAUAAAUCUAACUAGUUAUUAGUACCUUGAAAUUAUAUGUUCGAAUCUUUUCUGCACGAGAACCGGUCCCAACCUGCAUUUCAAGAAUACAACAUCAUUAAUGUAGUUAAUCUAGUGCCUAAAUCAUUACCUAAAUAAUGUAAUUGUAGUAUUGUUCUAUGUGUGUGUGUGUGUGUGGAGAGAGAGAGAGAGAGAGAGAGAGAGAGAGAUGGGAGGCUCUUGCCUAGAGGUCACAUUCUAUACCCUCAUCACAAAAAACAUAUAUGUGAUGCAAAUGUUCACACCAAGGUACUAGUCAUAUGCAUCUUAAAUAGUUUCUAAGCUAAACGAGUAACAGAUACCUGUGAUUUCCGUUGAUUCCUAAUCAGUUCCUGCUGCUCCCUCAGUUUUAUUUUAUACCUGAAACAUGGUCAUUGAUCAUCAAAACUGCACAAAAGAAAAGCCGGGUGGAAGCAAGACAUAUAUGUUUGAAAGAAAUGAUUGUUUUCAACUCAGUCAACAUGUUACCAAUCAAAGUAACAUUCUGAGGGCACCUAAAACAUGGAUUUAAUCAGCACUUACAAUUUUGCUCUCAGCAACUGAAAAGCACGAUGCUUGUUCUGAAGUUGAGACCUCUCUUCACUACAAAAGAUGCGGAUGCCAGUUGGCUUAUGGACAAGAUCAACAGCUGUCUCCACCUUGUUGACAUUCUGCCCUGCAUGACAAUGUUGCAUAAAGUUGUGGCAUAUAAGGAGUCCUUUCCUCUUACCAAAUUGAGGUAUGCAAAACAAUGUCAAUUCUACAAUAAACAAAUACCUCCAGCUCCCCCAGACCUUGCUGUUGUCAGUUCAAUAUCUUUUGGGUCAAUAACCACCUCAACUUCAUCCGCCUACAAUAUGGCACAGAAGAACUAUAAAUAAGGUAACAUGAAUGAUACAAUCAAGAGUAACGUAGAAUAUUAGUCACAAAAAACAAGAUUCAGAAUAUUCCGGUUGCCACAGCAAGCUUGACUUCAACAAUUUUGAGGUAAGGGGAUGAAUUUAAAACUAUAAAUAUUAUAAAGCCAUCUGGAUACAGAUUGAGGAAAGUAGAUGGUGCUACUCAAAUUCAUUAAAACAGUACAUCCAAACGGAAAUUUUGUAGCAGAUAAAGGGACAAUAUUCAACCAUAUUAGAGGGUAAACUAAUUUAUUACUAAUGGCAAUGAAAGUGGGGAAGAAUGGCAAAGAAAGUAAAAGAUAAUGCAUAUCACUGUUUUCCUCAUCAGGAAGAAUCCAAAUGAAGUACCACCUUUUCGAGAUAGUCAAUGUAAAGAACUUGGAACAUUGGUGGACCAAUGUUAGUAAUGGGUAUACAAACUUGAGCACACUUUAUUGAAUCUUUCAAAAUCCAGAUCCAAUGUAAAAUUGAGUAUUUUGUGCAAAAGAUAAGAUACCUCAGGCAUGAUGGCAACAGUUGCAGUGGAAGUAUGCACACGACCCUGUGUUUCCGUAUGAGGAACACGUUGAACCCGGUGAACACCAGACUCAUAUUUUAAUUUGCUGUAUACACGCUUUCCUUUUAUCUCCAUCACAUAGGUCUUGUAUCCUCCUCUUUCAGCCUAAAAGAAAGAAAGAAAGCUCUAUCAGUCAUGUCAAGAGCAAUAGGAUAUACCUCCUUAAAAAUGGCAGCAAAAAUACCUCUGUGCUUGAAACUGGGUUGAACUUCCAAUUGUUCCUCUCACAGUACUUCUCAUACAUACGAACCUGGGUCAGGAAAUAAAAAUAAAUAAAUAAAUAAAUGCAGAAGCAUCAAGGUAUGCUCAAAAACAACUUGAAGGAAUGACUUCAUGGACUAAAAGAAUACUUGUUUAGGCCUAUAAUGCGUGUCAUUGAAAACAAAACAUAUAAAGCGAGCUUGGUGUCGUAACAAGUUUAUCCACAUAGAUAGAUGCUGAAACAAGCUUGUCCAAAACCUAAGUUACCUAGCCCAUUGUUAUAGCUUUUCUCAUUUGGGAGAGACAAACAUUCAAGGCCAGGAAAUUUUGCAAAAUACUUGUACGAUUUUUUCCUGGUAUUCUUUUCUUUCUUUAUCACCAGUUUGGUGUUGUAUGCAAGAAAGGUAGAUUCCCUAUAGAUUUUAAAGGACAAAAAAAACAUAUACCUACAAGAUCACCUGCCCAGAUUCCAGCUUCAUCACCACCAGUACCAGCCCUUACUGUAGCAAGGAACAAUGCUAUUUUUAGUUAAAAUGAAAUUGAUGGGCAGGUACCAUCAUCGCCAGCAUAAUAAUGAAAAAAGCUGAUCUAUAUGUAGUAGGAAGAACAUGGUGAACCUAAACAGUCAUUGCAUUGUCUACCAUAUACUUGCCGUAGUUCAGACCACCCGAGUAAAGUAGAGCAGUUUACUCAGUAGAAAAUGAUACGUGGCUCACAAUUAAUCAAAUAAAACAAUUUACUCAAAAGGGAAGAUAUGAAAUUACCUUCAAGCAUUAUAUUUCUGGCAUCAAGAGGGUCUGUAGGAAGGAGUUUCGUCUGUUAAUAUAACAUGUAACAUUAUUAAAAAAAUUAAAAAAUCAUUCCAAAUAUCAGGACAAGGAACAACUGUUACUCGGAAAGAGGAGCACCAAUCUAACUGCUAAUAGCCUAAUACAAGGCUCACCAUAUCAACAAUAUUAUAUCAAAUUACACCAUAACGUACCUUAAGCUUCUCCUCAAGUUCUUUGAUUUGAUUGGACAAAGAUUCAAUUUCGUACGAAAUCAUAGCCGCCAUUUCUUCAUCAUUUCCAUCCUCAUCCGCCAAAGCUGAUACAUUGCGUCAUAAACAAGGACUUCAGCACUAAAAUACCUUGAACAUAUUCGAAACCAGAACUCUACUCAAAUAGUCAAAUUGCAGCAAACCUUUACUCUCCUCUAACUGCUUCUCACAGUCCUUAUACUCCUUAUAAAUUGACACAACCUGCCCAACAGCACAAAACCGCCUUCAGCGAAAUCCGAAAUGAACUCAAUCAGACAAAAUAUGUUAAUCUAAACUCUGCAAUACCUCAUCGAGCUCCGCCACGGAUUGCGCCAGCCUCUGGUACUCACUGGGAUUCGACACGAUGUCUGGAUCAGCUAGCUUGACCUAAUUCAAUUUUUAAUUCCCUUCUCUAUCAGAAAAACUCAAAUCUAACAACAAAGCAAGUAAAAAUUCGCAGUAAAAUAUUUACUAAUUUAAACCUAUCCAUUCUAAUCACGGUAACUAAAAAUCAUACCGAUAAUUCCUUCCAUGUCUUCUCCGCAGAUUCCAGCUUCGUAAUCAAAUACGGUGCCUGCAAAUUCAACCAGGAUUAACACAUGAAAUUACUCCUAUAACCUCAGUUCGUUAAUUACCAAGCAGAAACUGAAUGAAGAAGUUACUAAGUGGUGAAUGGACUGACCGCCAUGCAAGUGAUUCGUGGAGCUCUGGGAUGAGGUUUGGGGAUGGAAAGGGAAGUCCAUGAGUGGUGGGUGAAACGGCGUCGUGGAGGGAAUGCGAGUAAUCGCGGCGGUGCGGAGGUGGUGGUGAGGCCGCUCAUUGCCGCCGUGGGGGAGAAAAGCGCGGUAAGGCGGAGUGGUUGGAAAUGGAGGAGAUUUUGAUUCUUUUUAAGGCGACGGGGUGUGGAUAAGUUCCGUUGUGAGGUGUGCUUAGGAUAGAGCAGCUAUUAAUGGAUUCCAGUAAUACACAAAGCCCACGUUUUUUUCUUCUAGCCCAAUCUCUCAGCACAACAACGAGAAAACGGUGAAACCGUUAAACAACGACAAACGUGACACGUGGAUUAUAUAAAUAUUAAUUAUAUUAAAUAUCAUAUUUACAAUAUAUUCUACUCUUAAUCUUGUGUCAUGACUCACGCUAACAUAAACCAAAUCGAAGGAGCCGGGUGGGAAUGAGCAAAAUCAGCAAGAUAGUCUGCUACAAAGUUAACCUUACGAAACAUAUGAUGAACACAAUAUAAUCAAAUUGAGCAGCAAAAUGUGAGGAUGUCCUUGACUAGUAAAUAGUGUGAAGAACAAUAGAGACUGUGAAUUUUUAUGCGAAAUAAUUGACACUGUAAAAGUCAAGAGUUGAAAUCUCCCUGACAUCAUCAUGGGACGAGUGUGACAAGAAAAAAAUAUAGUAGUUUUAUACUUAAACAAGAAAAAGCCACUAAGCUUAAAAAGAAAUUGUAUUGAUCCGCAAAUGAUACCUAUGAACUUAUUGUUUGUUUAUUUUUAGCGAAACCUCACAGCUCAAAGUCGACAACACACCAAUAUGCCAAGCAAUGCUUGUCUGGUAGUAGCCUAGUCACACCAAUUACGGUGUGACUGAAACAGCACAACACACAGCGGGAUAUUGUCUGCUUUGGCCUCACUCUCAUGGUUUUGUUCUUGGGUUUCCAACUCAAGAUGUGUCUCACUAGUGUGCGUAAUUAUUGUUUUGGCAUUACAUUUUCUUUAUUGAAACAUCUAUGAUGAAUUAUUAAAAACUCAUAAAAAGGGGGGAGGUUGGGCCUGCACGAUUCCUCGAGUGAGAUGUACGCAGUUUAUGGAGGGGGAGAAGACAUGAAAGAGAAAAUACUUUCAUUUUUUUUUCGGAAAUGGAUCUUACCCUUCUAACAAGCCUGACUUCCCGCUUAAGAAGUACUUGAUUACCGUGCAAGCUUUGAGAAUCAGUUUACCAGAAUUUACUGAAUUGAAUUCGGUACUCCUCUUUAGGUUGCGAAACAAAAAAAUCCUUCUUUAAAC